UACCGGUAUUCACCAACAACAAGAACAGGCCAUACUUAAUAAUUCCACCCUGAGGAUUCUCUCUCUCUAAGACACCUUGGGCUAAGGGAAACUCAUAAAUACCUAUGAUCUUUUGUUACUUCAAUCGGAACCAUCAAACUCUGUUCUCAAGUAGGGUGCAAGCGGGUAUCUCGGCUCGGGCUACUGGCUACAAUUCUCUACUUCUACAAAAGAAUCUCUAGUUUAAGACCUGUCCCCAGUCAAACUCAAGUAUCCUAACUCAAGUCCAGCUCGCCUACUAAGGUCAAUUACCUCUCUAUAGUGUGUUUCUCUCUUUGCUAAGGUUAGCUUGUCUGCUUAUCUGUCUGUCUAAUUGUCCUCUUCUGAUCCUAUUCUUGACUUGACUUUCUAUAAAGAGGCGCCGAACAAAGCACUUGUCACCAACAACUGACUCGACUAGCUACUACUAGAAUGGCAUCUGAUCUCUCUAGAAUGGCAUCUGAUCUCUCUCUGGUUGGCUUAGCCCUUGCAGCUUACUUCCUGGAUCCCGCUUCACUAGCAGCGUCUACACCUUUCCUAUAGUCCUAUAGUAAUUCAUAGAUCGGCUCCUAUUAACUUCUUGAAACAAGCCCAGCCCCUAUCCCUAACAAGUAUGUAACAGAGCCCAGCCACUAUGGUAGUCAAUAGGCCCAGAAAGGCAUAAAAGUAACUACUAACCAGGUCCGGCAAGCAUCAAACUCACUACUAAUAGAAAGGAAAGGUUAAGGCGGUAAACUCCCUUCCCGUCUCGUCCGGAGCGCCAUACAAGCUACUACUAAACAAGUCCUUUGUUCAUGGCGACAGAAGGGUGGCUCAUGUUGCGCGUUAGUCUAAUUGGUAAUCUAGUUUCAUCUGUCUUUGGUUACAGUAGAUGUUAGGCUAAUGUGGUAGUUUCAUCCACAGUGGAGAAUCCUUUGUUUACUUCGGCAAGAUGUAGAUCAAAUUCCUUCUUUGUUGAGUCAGAGGAGAAGAUAGUAGUCCAGAGCAAUAACUAGAUUAGUAGCUAGAGGAGAUAGAGGCGAAUUCAGUUCAUAGUUGCCAGCUGCAAUCUAGGGUACUGUUUCUAGAGUUAUGAGCUUAGCCUACACUGAGAGCGGUGAGGAAUGUGACAGAGCAACUUCUCCUAAGGUUAUUACCAAGGACAGAGGCACGGUUUGUUAGAUAAGGUAAGGUAUCAACUUCCCCUUAUUAUAAUUCCCCCUAUAGUGAGUUGCAGAGUCAAUUCCAUGCUUUGAUGCGGGAAGGACAGAAAGUGGAGGGCCCGUAUUGAGCUCCUGAGAAAUCAUUGAUUCCUAACAUCUUUCUGGUUCCAUUGCACUUGAGCUUGAUGGUCGAAUUGAAUCUAGCGUGACUACACAUAUAGAAGUCAGCAACUUCUCACUCUACUACAUACUCUAAACAACAGAGCUUUGCUUCCUUUAAGAACCCCAGAAAAAACUCCAUUCUCCUAUGGCCCAACCACGGACAAAUAAGCCUUAUGAAGCGCUCUAGCACCUUAACCUCUCUCAUCGCCAACAACGUGGAAGACCUGAUUGAUAGUUGUUUCCGAAAUACCCCACUGCUUAUGAUCUUGCUUCAAACUAACUAACAAAUCCUUCUUCAUCACCUGGAUCCAUCGUAUUCUUCUAUAUAGGAUUAAACAAGAUAGGAGAAAACAAUAUAUAGGAUGAACCAAGAUAGUAUAAAACAAGGGAUUCAAGUCAAACAGUCAAAUCAGCAGUUGAACAAGUAACAGAACAAGAAGCAACUGAAUAAGCAAAGUAAGCUGCCCCAUGUUCUGAAUUUGCAGUUACAAGAUGAGUUGCGGCGUCUGCAAGUGCAGUUUCCGUUGGAAAAAGAGAAGAAUCAAGUGAAGCAUAUCGGCACCCCUAGUUCAUAAGCUUUAACGGAGUAGAGCAGAGGUUAAACGACUCGAAAGAUGGGUGUUGAGAAUGAGCACUCUAAGGGGUAUUGAGCCCGACUCAAAGGAAGGGUUUGAAGCCUGAACUAAGUUAAGUAAGUGUUACAAAGAAUGGAGUUCUUCUCGCUAACUGAGUCUUCGUUGAAUUGCUGCAUUUUCUCUAUCAAAUUCAUUGAACGAGGACGAAAAAGGGCUUAUUGUCCCCUUGUUUACUCGAGGAUUCUCUUUCCGUUCUAGUGUUGUCUCCGAGAAAAGAGAAAGAUGCAAGUGGUAGAUAACCAUAAGCAGGAGCAUAAUAUGGAUCAUCAGCCGAAGCCGAAUCGAAUGCUUACUUACAGAGCAGUAAAGUCUCUUUUCACUCACAACCUAACCAUUAGUUGUAAUAGGAGUGAAAGGCUUUCCUCGCACAGCAAAUUAGAUGGUUGACUUUAUUGACCACCCCGCGGACUGUCAAUUCUUCAUCAGAUGAUCUGUAUCCCCUUACUUGAAUGUAAUCCUUACUAAGAAAGAUAGAAUUGUCAUAGUGAUUUCUUUUAUUAUACUUAGUGUCGACAGUGUGUGUACUGUGGAAAUGCAAGCCUCAAACUAGCGGAAGCCCAAUCGAAUCGCAUCAGAGCCUAAUUCAGUUAUUCAAGAUGAAAUGGUAUAUGCCCGGUCAAAGGUUCUUCCCCGGUCAAGGGUUCUUCCCCAGCUAGAAUUCCUUCCUUUCAUAAUGGAGUUGGUUUCUUCUUUAUUUGGAAUUUGGUAAUGGAGUUUCCUCUGCGCUAACGGGAGAUAUGGGAUUGGCGCUCUCGUAGUGGGCUGGGCUCUAAGGAAUGAGUUCAAAAACGGAAUGACUUAUCGGAGUAGUAGAAUGAGCUAGGUAUGAUAGUGCUAUAGAAUGAGCUAGUUACUUUGGCACUGAAGAUUCUCUCUCUGAUUCGACAAGGGGUAACAACCAAUAAGGGCCUCUCAUAACCAUACUUUCGAGCUGUAACUGGGGCCUCUAUUUCUGCCCUAUUCUUAAGUACGCUUCCAAAGAUUCCAUGAAUUCUUCCUCACCCGGCCCGCAAGCACUCGACACUGAUAGAAUUCCUACUUGUGUAAGCAAGACAAGAUGUGUAGUUACCAACAAGAGAAGAGCAGAGGUGUUAUCGACCCCAACUCGUAUACCCUUAACUGCAAGUAAGCCUUAUUGUUAGUCUGUUCCAACUCCAUAAAGAAGAAGAGAAACUAACCCCCAUUUGAGAAGUGGAAACCACCAAGCUUUGUAUAAGAAAGGCGCAACUACUAACACUACUAAAGGACAAAGAGAGGAAUGAACUAAAGGACACAGAGAGGAAUUAACUAGCAGGCAAGUAAUUACUAACCAAGCUUAGUAGUUAGACCAAGUAACCACUAGACAACCAACUACUAAUGAAAAAGAGCAGGGAACAGGCUACUACUAGUGAGGCAAAGGCUAAGAGACGCAGCAGACAGAUUGAAUCUCAUCCAACUCAAGCUACUAGAGCGACUAUGGCUACUAUACCUCUGGCUCAUCUAACUCUUAUCCGACUGUUACUACUGAGCUCAAUUCUUCUAUAUACUUGUAGAAUUCUUUGACUUACUAGGUUAAUUCCGAUACAGACUACUUGCCUACUGAGGUGCAUUCUUGCACUAGAGCUGAAGUCUUGUUGUUACUGGUUGAAGUCUUAAACUACUGGGUUCUACUCUUGGAUUGACUGGUCCAAUUCUGAAACUUCCUCUUUGAACUCUGUCUCCCAUUUAUUUACUUACCACAACAUUAGGAUAGGGGCUGGCUCUUAACUAGCUGAUUCCCUUGCUGUGGACUUAACUCAAACAGGCUCUUCUAACUCUCCCUCUCGCCUACCUAGUGCUGAUGGCAAAUAGUACAGGGCACAGAAGCUGGGCCAAGCGUAUACUAAUGAGUUUCAUUCUGACCUUUUCACUUCGGGCUUACUCAUAACUAGAGUCUCUCUCCUACUAACUGACUCCUAGUAACAGACUUCGGGCUUACUCAUAGCCAACAACAAGAAAAGUACUGGCACCCGACACAAGAACAAAUACUGAUUCAAGUAGUUCCGGUUUUCUUCUUUUGUUUAUAGCAAAGCAGUCCUUCCUGCCCCGGUGAGGAUACCUCGCUUCAAAGAAAGAAACCAAAAAGGAGGAAUUCCACUCCACUCCAAGAUCGGAAACAGAAGAACGGGCUGGCUUACCAAAUCAUUAAACUAUCAACUCUAAACUACACUUUCAUAGCUUCCCGAGCCUAGUCACUUCAUGAAACCACUACAAAUACAGAAUUCCAAUCUAACAACAACAGGAGCAGUACUAAAGGGAUUCCACUGGCACCGAGUAAACCCUCUUAUGAGGGACAGCUACUGACAGGACUACUACGCCACAGUACUACAAGUCUGAAACUCUCACUCUCACAGGAACUCUACUUUAUGACUGGAACAAGACUGGAAGACGAGACGGAAGUAGACCUCAGCCCCUCUGGCUAAUGAGUCAGUUUCUUCCGAUCUAGUAACUGUACCUAACAAUUCUCUUACAGAAUUGGUUACUUCUUGUACUGGUUAAAUAGAAGAAGGACAUUCUCCGCUAGACAAGCAGACAAGACAAUAGGCAAGGAAGAAAAAAAGUACUAUCUGAUCUAUUUGCUAUGAGCCAAGUCACUACUAAAUGAGAUCUUUGCUAUCAGCCAAGGAACAUAGUUAGACCAAGUCACUACUAAAUGAGAUCUUCUCCUUAUAUAGAAAAACACUUCAUUUCAGAAAGGAGAGUUACCACCUAUCAUACGGCUUUCUCACAGGUAAAGUAACGAGGAAAAGCCCCAAUCUGGUUACUAUUAGUAUGACUAGUCGUUCUUUUGCUUGAAUCUACCAUUAUUCUUGAGUUCUACCUUCGUACGGGGACUCUCUUCGCCUAUCGUAAAUCUGCAUUGGCUCGGAAGGGAAUCGAUCUCCUGAGAGCAAAGUUUAGAACUCAUCAGUGGUGCGGGAGGCCAGCGGGAGUGCCUUGCGCAGUAAUCAAGCUAGGCUCAAUAUCCUGCGAUGGGCAGGCGGCCUAUUUCAAUAUAGUUCUUUUCUUGGAAAGCCACUGAUUAUCAAUUGCACCACAAGUAUACUAUUUCUUGGAGGAUGGAGCAUAAGGUCUUUUAAUUAGGAGAUGGAGCAUAAGGUCUUUUAAUAGGGGGAUGGAGCAUAAGGAAGAGUGGGAAUGCAACUAGUGAGAAUUGCACCCCUAUUAUAAUCCGUCAAAGCGCAUCUAGUAAUCAGAUCAGAAUUCAGAAUAGUUGCCCUUAUUGUAAGUUGCCAGAGGUCUAGGAAUUAGAAGUAUCAGUAUGAACCCAGACUCUUUCUACUUGAAAGCCCUCAGAGUUGCAUUCGUUAAUUCCUUAUUCCUAGGUGCUUGUCUCCUUGCUUGCCCUUAUAUUAACGCUGCUUGGCUGAUAAGGGAUAGAAUUGAGCUAGGUAGUUUCAGAAUAGAACUAGGGCUAGCAAGAAUCGAACGGGUGCUGCUCGGGCCGAUGUUGGGUAGCUAAGGUCUAGUAGCUAGGGAGUCACUAUUUAUUAAGUCUUCCGCGCAUCCAUAAGUAGCUAUAGGCUAAGAGUAAGCCCCUAUUUAUUAAGUCUUCCCCGAAGCCCUUAAGUAAAUGGGUAAGCUUCUGGUGUAGUUUAGAGUUGCUAGUAGAAUGAUUUGUUUACAGUGUCAGGUCAGUUGCUUUGCGGUAUAGCAAGUAUACAAGAGCUAAGCUAUAAGGAGCUCAAUACCGGCCAAGUAACUACUAAUGUGUAGCGGCAGUUUAUUGAGUGUGAGGAUAAGACGGAGCCGAGCCUGUUGCAUCUCUAUUUGAAGACAGAGGAGAGGAAGCAUCAGCAGGGGAAAGAGAAGGAUCAUAAGUUCUAUCAGACAGAAGAAGGUAGAUUGGGAUCAAAUGCUUCAGCCAAAGAAUCUGCAGGAGAAGACUCAGUUUCAACAGAAUCAGCAGUUCGAUAAUUUGCUGUUAGGUACAAAAAGUAUUUGACAGGUAGGGGAAGGGCGGAUUGCCUAGUAGCUUGGCGUGGGUAAUCGGAAAAACCAGAUACUUUUCAAGGAAGAAGAAAGUAAGUAUAAGGCUUUGUUGCGGGAAGGGAGUAGUUGACAGCUGCUAGUGGAGAUGAGCAAGAGGAGAGGUCCAGUAGCCGAGGUAAACUCAUCGGUAAGAGACUAGUACAUAUUGCUAUGAAAAAUCCCGGGAAAACGCAACUUUUCAUGAAACUAUGAUCGGCUCAGGAAGGAAAAGGACUUCGCUACCCAAAAACACGGGAAAACGUAAACUUUGAGGAUAAAUCUGGUCACUCAGGAAGGAAAAUCCAUUUACAACCAAAAAACACGGGAAAACGGAAAAGUAGAAUGAAAAUAAGGUUCUCUAUUAGCCAAAUUGUCUUCACUGCCAACAGCUCCUGCCGCUACACAUUAGUAGUGUCUUGGCGAUGAUAAUUCUAUCUCUUCUUAUUAAGGAUUACAUUUAGGAUUCUACUCGGGUGUCUAAGAAUUCCACCACUGCUAUCAAGACUUAACCCAGUACCACAACAGAACCAAAGCAGUAACAAAACCAGAAUGAGCCUCUACUGACCCGGACUGAAGCUAAGGAGUGAGAGAAUGAAGCUAAGGAGUCAUAGAGCUAGGGCGAGCAAGGCUAAGCACUCAGACACAUAACUCGGAAUGCAUAGGGAAGGCACCGAGUAAGAAUGCCAGUACUUUAUUAUGUAUCAAUUCUAUCUCAAACUUCUGGAUCAAAUGCUUCGGUUCGGUAUCAAAGCCUUCCUUUAGUUCCUUAUUCCUUCUCAAGCUUCGGUAUCAAAGCCAUGGUAAACUAAUUGGAUUUAGUCCUGUGUUCGCCUGCUCUUAUAGUAAGUUGGUAGGAAAUAGAGAAGGUGCUAAGAGCCGUUUCUUUUAUGCCCGGUAAGUCAACUAGUUCAAUCUGUCUGCUUGGCCUAUCUUCUUUUAUAUCUUCUUUUAUAUCUUCACUAAUGGUGUUAUACUAUAGUUGCCCGCGGGAAUAGGUGGAGCAGAGACAGCUGGGGGAGCAGUUGAAUGAAGUUAUUUACUGGUUUCAUGAAGUUACUCGGGGAGGCCGGUUUCAUUCCCUUAAGCACUGGGUAAACUCUUUAUCCCUAUGCUACCUGUUUAGAGUUGUUCUCUUAUUCUUAUAUUUGUAUUUGUAGCCUUACCCGCCUAGACAGAUCUCUCGACUCAAGAGUUUCUUUCGUAUCCUCCUGUGUCAUUGCCUUGAAUGCUUGGUGAAGUUCAGUAAGGGCAUAAGAAUUCUCAAAUCAAAUACUAGCUCUACUCGACUAGAUCCUAAACCUAACUCCUAGAUUCUUAUUCCUAUGUUCGAAAGGAAAGGGUACUCAUACUGACUUUUUGUAGCUCCAUUCUUUUUGUUGGGUUGGCGUGGGUAUUUAUCCCACUUAAGAGUGCAAUUCUUAUUGCUAUGUCCCGUCCACUAGCUCAUUUCUACUACUAUUGUGUUUAAGCUCUUUGACUUACUUAUUGAAAGUGUGUUUAGCUCUUUGACUUACUUAUUGAAAGAAGGUACUCCACUAGUAGCUAACGACUUUCUAUCUGUUCUUAUUAAGGAUUGAGCUGUUCUUAAUGGAGUUUCGAAAGAUAGAGUAUCCAAAUAGAAAGACAGAGAAACCAUCAAAUCACAGAAACAAUCAAAUCAGCCAAGACACUACUAAUGUGUCGCGGCAGGGCCGCUCAUCUGUGCCCGUUUGAUGGUCAAUCACAUAGAUCAAUUAUGGUCUAAAGUCUCUAGAGAAGAGAACAGAUGGAGGUAUCGGAUAAGAAUGAAUGUAUAGUAGCCGAAUGAGGCAAGUCAGGAUUCCACUCUGUAGUAACAGACCGAAAGGAAGAAUGGAACGAGGAAUCGGAUUAAGUGCUUGUGUUAAGCAAUGAUACAAUCUAUCUCUUUUGUAGGCUUGGCCCCUACUGAAUUCAUGAUUAUCUUAUUAAGGAUUGAGUUGAGAAAGAUCUUAUUAUUAAAGAGAAAGAGAAAGUUUAGAAAGAGGGAAGUCCUGUCCCCUUAAGUAAUUGCCCGGGUUUUGGUGAAGUGGAAUUAGUUUCAUCUCGGUAGUCCUGUUCGAGUAGAAUCCUUAUAUUCAGAAGAUCGAGUGAGCAACUUUAGGAGUGAGUUCAAGAGUAUACUAUACUAGCUCGACAAAGAAUACUACUAAUACAUAUAGGUAUCAAACGGAAUAAGAUUAGGGUUUAGUCAACUCUUGCUCCUCUGUUUGCCUUUGUAUACUACUGUAGUUGUUUGGCUGCCGACCCUCACUCUGUCAACAAUUCACUUCAUUCUUAUCCUAAUAACAAGUCUGUAUUUGGGUGUUCAUGGCGUCAGGCGGCUAGGAAAUCAUUCCACUCGACACACUUAAUCAUUUCCCGACCCGACCUGAAGUAAUAGAUGUUGGUUACUAACCCUAAGUGAAAGUACUAAUGGUUACCCUUACUAGGCAGUCAAAGACAAUUCGUUUUGUUGUUAGUUUUGUCGGUUCAUCAAGAAAGUAGAGUGAGGAUGCGAGUUCAAUCUAUGAGAGAGGUGAUUUUCGAGAGAGAUGAUUGAUUUGCUUUCCCUUAGCGCCUAAAGCUUGUUUCAGAUGGUGCACCACUUCUUCUAGAAUGAAGUAACAGGCCACCUCAAGCUCACUACGAAACUCCAAAGCUCACUGCUUCCAGCGAUUAGCCCACGUAGCGGUUAAGGCUCAAGUCUGCAGCAAUUGAAAGUCGAGUUCGGAAGUAACGCCAAAGAGAAGAGAGCGGUUGUCUACGAGAGACAUAGAAUCCGCAGCAAUAGCUUCUGAAUGAGUUGUCGACGAGAAAGACAAUGUCAGCAGUUCGCUUGUCAGCUGCAAUCCGAUCUUAUGCUUCAUAGAAAUCUGUUAUUGGCUAACCGCGAGUAAAGUUGUGGUCGGCAAAAGGUAUGCUGUGUAUUUACUUCUUUCUUUACUAGGUGUAGGUGCUCUAAAGUCUGGUUUUCGAGAGUCAGGAUAUGUAUCUGUAAGCAGGAUUAGGGGGUUUAGCAUAAGAAUUGCUAGUUCCAGGUCCUGUUGGAAAGUAGUCUCCGAGUUAUGUUGCAGCAAAUACAUUCUCAAUGUUCUAAGAGUGCUAAAGUCUUGUUCGGUUGUUGUCGUAAAUGGAAGUAGAGUUAUUGUUGAAAGAUCCGGUGAAGAGUCCAAUACUUACUUUGAUGCGCUAACGGGAGUUGAAUAUUGUAAUGCUCUGUAACUUGACUAAAUUCUUAGUUGCGUGAGCUACAGAUCCUAUCUUCUGCGCUCGACUCUCAAUCAGGGUUCUUAAGCGCCCGAGCCUGUGUACUUGAUACUUUUGUUGUCGACUUUCCUUCUUCUUUACCAGCUUAUAUACGAUAACUCCCUUCCUUAGCUUCCAGUUAGCGCCUAAGCUUGUUCUAAUUCCAUACCUAGAAAAUGCCUCCGCUUUUGACCUUGGAGUUGGUGACGAAGCGGGGCCAAGCAACUACGCCAGUUGCGCGGCAGGAGCCCGUUGCAGUGCGAGCAAGAAGAGAGUCUCCUAUGCAUCCUAUAUUGACUUAUACUAUGUGGCUUGGCUCUUGCCUUUGUAACGUUAGUAUACGCUUGUUGGAUUCCACUCUAACAGUCAAUUCAGCUGACUCAUCUCUGGCUUCUGUUUUAUAGAUGCUGACCCUAACUUUUGAUCCACUGUACAACGUUGCUUGUCUGACUUAGUAAUAACAAGUUCUAAAAGGAAAAGAGGUGGGUAGGUAGGUAAGGAGUUGCUCUUAGCCCAAGGUGUCAACUUACUCUUUCUCUCUCGUCCACUUUCCAGGAACUGAACCUGAACCACUUGUUGCUGACCUCUCUUGCCCUGAAGCAUAACCAGAAGCAGAGGAUUCGUAAGCGGGACAAUCAGUUGACGUUACCAACCAAAGCAGAGGUAUUACCGACCACAACUCGUGUAUCGGUGAAGGCCAGAAGGCUUAUUUUGCAUCGUUUCACUUUAACCCAUUGUGGAAACUUAGAGAAUGGCAAAUACACCAACCACACCAUUGAGGGUAUAUAACGGCUCUUCUAAUUGAUUUUGUAGCCUAACAUCUGACCGCCUUCGAUUCCGUGUUCUGUUUCUAUAGGAGUAUGAUAGGGCAUUCCGUGUUCUGUUUCUAUAGGAGUAUGAUAGGAGUCGGAGAAAAGUUCACUUGAAGUUCAAAACCGCUUGGAGCUCACUUUGGAAAAUGCUUCUGAUCUCGGAGACUUCACUCUUAUUGCUUCAUCUGUUGCUGCUGACAAAGGGUUAACUCUACUUGAAACAAAACCUUGCCUUGACACCUCUCCGCCAAGAACAUAACUCGAAGACUUAGAAACAAGAAAAGAAUCACCAGCAGACCUGGCUCAUGCUCCCUCAGCUAUGUAUUAUAGAUCUAACUAACCAACUAGAUCGUACCCUCUUGUCUUAUACUUCAUAGAAUGCGCUAGUUAGUUACGACCGGAAGGUAUUAAAGGACUAACUCUGUUGCAGGUGCAAGCGUGUUGGGGUCUGCUAGUGAGGUUUUGCAAGUACUAUAUUCUGCCCCAAGAACUGAACCUUCAUACGAUGAAACUAGAACAGAAACAUCAAAUCAUGCUCAUACUUAGGAGACUGCUGCAGAGUAAACCAAAAUGCAGAUAGAUCUAUCGAGCUCCUUUGCUGACGGUUACCUUUCUGUUAGCACACUUAGUAUUGAUCCGAAGUCAAACAAAUCAUUGAAUCUUGAACUAGCAGAUGAAGCCCACACUGCUGAAGAUCACGAUCCAGCAUCUAAACCGACACAAAUCCACAAGCUACGGUGCAAGAACUAAAGUCAAAGAGUAUAGCAUAGGUCUAGGGUGCCUCGCUGUGUUUAGAGAGUGUUUUUCUCAUUCAUUUAGAAUACUACGAAUUCAUUUAAUAUACUAUUGGUGCCUCGCUGUGUUUAGAGAGUGUUUUUCUCAUUCAUAUACUAUUAUGGACGCUAAAUGACUCUUAAGGCAAGGCCAGCAACGGAACAAGGGGAGGGGACUGAAAUCGCACUCAAAGAUAAUAGUCAGAAGUAUACCUUGCUUCGAAAAUAGUCAGAAGUAUACCUGGCGGAUAAGUCUUAAUGGAAUCUCUAUCUUUUAAAUAUAAAUAAGGAAUGGAAUGUAGGAUAAAUAGCAAUAAUGAAUUUGGAGCCUAUAAAACAGGGUAUCUCGGGCUAAAGUCUGCUACCGGGUAUCUCGGGCGAAAGAAGUGAAGUUGAUUCCUCACCACUCUAGCGCUCCUAGGAUUUCUAUGAAACUAGUAGUUCAGGGAGGGCUUGUUUAUUCGGUCUCAGGGAAGGGAGUGGAAAUGACUAUUACUAGGGUUUAGUUGCUUUUCGGACUAUAAUCAAUUACAUCUUAUAAUAAUAUGACAGAAUCAUGAGCUAGUAGGGUCUAUUCGAACUGUAUUGCCAGGUCAAGACUCAACCUAUCACCUGUGCACUCAUCAUCUGAAGGACGUACCCGACUAAGUACUAAGAGCAUCCGAUACCGGCAAGCAGACAAGACACGACUGAAGUCAACCCGAAACUCAGAAUGAAAUUGAAGUCGACGCAUUAAGGUUCAGGCUUCAGCAACAGGAAAUGCAGUAUCAAGUCAAUCAGCAGAACAAGCGCAAGGGCUAGAAAGAAGGAGUCUUUUCGGGGUGCUACGAGAGAGGAGUGGAGUUCGACAGAAUGAAAUAAGAAACUGCCCACGGAGCGGUAAAGUCAAUAUCAAGUGAGUAGCGCAAGUUCCCCUGCUUGUUGAGUAAGGGGUAGAAACAAGAUUCUUAGCGGGAUCAAUAGUUUGGUAAGAUAUCUUAGUUGGCUACGAGCGGUGUGUUUCUUCACUCAUUGGAGUUAGCAAGUCUCGUAUAUAAAGGAAGGGAACGGUAUCAAGUCAGAGGUCAGCGAAAAGUGUAGUUCCUGUUCUCGUAGAAACAAGUCGUCCUGUUUCAUGGGGCAGAAUAUCUUCAAUACACUUCAAUUCAUAUGUUCGUAUCUGAUUUUAUUGACCAGCGAAGUAUGUAACAUCCAAUGGCACAGUAUCCACCCAAAGAUUAUUAUAAUACACUGGUUCCCUCUUGUUACCAACUCAGAUUCCUAGUUUGACUAUAGUUUCCUUUUUGGUGAUGAAAUGUGAUAUACCCUCUCCUAUCUCUUUGCCAAUCAAUUUGGAAGUUCGAUUCCACAGGGGUCGGCUUAGUUCUAGAUAUAUCAGCGUAUUUUGACUCAAACCAUUCUUCAUUGACCAAUGAUUUUUCAAUACCCUUGUGCUUAAUGAUUCUUUUGUCUUCUUGAGUAAAAAGAGAAGAACUCUUUCUUUGGUGCUAAGAAGAUGCCUUUAUUUACAAUAUUGACAAUGUAUUCUAACUUACCUAAUACUGUGGAAGAUAUCUCUCCUUCAGGAAUAGGACUGCCAAGAACGACGGAGUAGGUAUCCGUGUAGUAACAGUCAUGUUUAGAGAUGUAUGGAUACAUAUGAAUCCGAGCACAAGCAGUGACCGGCCAAUUGAACGGCUGAGAUCCUUGGAGUACUCCAGUCAGAGUCUACGACCUGUCCGGUAUUGCUCAAGUAAGAGAGAUAUAGUUAUGCUCUGUCCCCAAAGAUGAAAUCACUUUUCUUUGUCAAAUGGUUAGAUCGAUCAAGAUUGCAAACCUCAGUGAUCGUGCAUUUGGGGUUCAUACUCAAUAUACAGUAUAGCCGAGUUAAUGAGUCUCUUGUAAACAUAGGACAUUGCGUCAUUACCAGUUCUCUUAGCUUCUUGUCUUCUAUCUAAUAUGGUGGAAACAAAGCCUCCGAAAGGACUGCUAUUCUUCUUUUCAAACAAGUAGCCUGCGACGAAUGAAAGUCUCUUAGUUCCGAUUUGGGAUAUGGAUAGGCCAGUGGUUUUGAUCGUCAUAGUUCGUACGAAAGAUAGUGAGAGCUAGCGAAGACAAGGUGAAUUUAGUGACGAUAUCUACAUUGUAUAGAGUACAAUAAAUAGAAAGAGCCUUCUGCAUCACACCACCUAAUAGAAGGAUGUCCUGUAUCAUAUAUUAUGACUAUUGAUGUUGGAGAGGGAGAAAAGUAGACACUCCCACAUCGUCAUAGGGGAUGAAGCCUUUAGCACCUUAUAGGGGAUAGAGAUUUUUGGCUAAGUUAUCAAGACUACUCGGGAGCUGUGUUCUGGAAUCCCUUAGACGGAAUAGCAACUUCUUACCAAGAUAGACAGCAAACUCGUAGAGCCUAUGGUUCCUCAUAAGAGGUUUUCUCAUGUACUUCACACCAUGAGUAGCUAAAUGUUUAAGUAAUAGAAUGCCAUCGAAUCGUGAUAAGUUGUGGAAGUAGACCGUUUGAAUCGAUAGAUUUUGUCUAACAACAACAGAACAGCUAAACAUUAUAGAAAGUCAAACAACAUCUUAUUGCUCCUUUCUUAAAAGGUGUCGAAGACUAGAAACAGGGGAAUAUUCCAGGAAAUAGGUAUCAAUGCCAUAGCCCGUCUCUGAAGACAGAUCAUCACCUGGGGGAACAUUAGUAUUAUUUAGGAUUCACAGUGUAAGUCCCCUAUUCCUAUGCUUGGCGCCAGACAAGUUGAUCAAUCAAAGCAUGGACUGGCUAAUCUUGCCCAUACUCUAUAAAAGAUAUAGCUUUACGGAUUCUAAAGGGAACUUCUCCGGAUGGUAUCCUCAUGACAUAACAAAUAGUCAACUUACAAGAAUAAGACUAUGGUAGUGUAAGCGUACUUGAUUAGUAGUCGCAUAACAGCAAAUACUAUAAGAUAACAGUCAAUAUAUCUUAACAAUGGCAUAUUUCAAUCCACUAUAGCCAUUAUCAAUCCAGGAUAGGGAUCCAUCUCAUAUUCAUUCUUGAUUGAAUUCCGUAAGCUGCCCCAUAAUAGAUCCAAUCUUUUGUCAUCAAAGUAGAAAUGUGUUGGUGAAGGAUCAUCUGCUGUAGAAAGUCCAGGACCAGGAGAGGUUGGAAAAAGAACGUUUCCUAUGUCUUUCAAAACUUCUAUCUUUCUUUGGUGCUUAGGAGAUUCCAUGAAGUAGUGCCAAGGGACUAAGCAUUUUCAAACAGGAAUAAAAAGAAGAUACGGCAGGUUAGGGAACAAGAUAUGGAGUAGGUCAAGAAUUAGGAGCAGUGGGAGAGUAAUAGGCUCAAGCUACAUCCGGAGUAGGAAUCAGAGGUUUGGAAGCUGUACCCUGAGUAGGAGAUAGAAAAGUGGGAGAGUCCGUAUCUUGAGUAGGAACAGAAGCUGGUGAGGAAGCUUCAGUAAGAGUCGGAAUAAGAUCUGAUACGCGAGUUGAGGUCGGCAAAAGCAGAUAGGGGUGCUAGAUAUAGAUAACGGUUCGGUUCUAAGGGUAAGAUAGAUAUUCCAUUCCUACAUGCGCCCCGUACCGUCCUGGGAAGUUUCAAUUCCUAGUUCACAUCUCCAGUUCAUCAAUUGUAGUUUGAGUUUGACUCGAAAGAAAGAGUGGUUUUGUUACCCUACCUGCUAGGUUAAUGCGAUACUAAGCAAUAGAAAUGAAAUGCAAGUAGACGAGAGGCAAAAGGUGAACUCGCAUUAGUGAGUGGUGCGCUAGUGAUAUAAGUGGAGCAUCAGCAGUAAGGUGCGCUAGUGCUUAGAUAUAUCUGUUUUGCCUCAGCAGGAGAAGAAUCUUGAGUUAGAGAAGUAACUCCUACCGAGAAAGACUGACAGACCCUCGAGCCCCUCAUUCUAGCACUCCCCUGGCGAAAAUGCUUUCCCUUUCCCCAUUAAGAUGAAGGAAGAGAAGAGCUCGACUCGACCCAUUCAUCAGUAAAGGGGCUUGUAUGCGAAAAUGAAAGGAGAUAUACUGAGGACGUUAACCCGCAGAUACCAGAAAAGUGGGAGUUUCUUCAAGUCAAUGUUUCAUAACAUAAACCGGCCGCGCCAUUCACUUUUGCAUUCAAUAUUGGUUGCUCACUCGAGAGCCGUUCCAGCUGUUCCUGAUGUCGAAUGAGUUCAUUACAUUCAUGCUUAACCUAAAUAGCAGAGAGAGGGAAGGCGCCGCUUCAACUCUACCGACUCGGGCCUCGACCUUUCUUUGACCGCUUUCUUUUCUGAUCGCUGGUCAAUUCCCACCCUAAAUGCUUAGCUCUAUCCUUUGCUGGCUGGUUUCCCAAAGGCUUUCAGCUCCUUGCUCUUUUCUUUAUUGUUGGAUGGAGAAGAACAAAGUGAUACUGUCUCUGGGCAUCGAAAUCUACGAGAAAGGGUCUUUCCGUUUUGAAGCGAUGAAAAGAGUGGAGUGGUUAGUUUCUUCUUGGAGUCUUCAAAUAGUUGCUUUUUCAGACCAAAGAUAAGUGCUUUAAUGCGUGGACCGUAAGCCCCUACUCCUAAGUUGUUGCGGAGUUCUACCAAUUUGUGUUAUUCGCAAUGGCUUGAACGAAUCUUACUCAUAAUCCCUCACUUACAAACUUUUGGCCUCCUAUUUAUUAUCCUGGGCCCUAUGAUUCUUGGACAUUUGUGCUAACGGGGUUGAGGAUUCAUUCUAGCUGGGGCACCUCCUUUUCUCUUCGUCUAUCCUUUCUGGCAUUGGUAAUCCUUUGAUUCUUCUCUGUGGCCCUCGUACUCAAUUAAGUUAUUCCACGUAUGUCUUGGAUGUCCUCAUCUUGUGGUUGUGGGGCGUCUUCUACUCCCUCGUAUUGGGAUUUUGGGGAGCUCUUUCAAUAGCUAGGCUUUCCAGAACUACACUCGGCUUAAUCCUCCCAGGAAGUAGGUAUGUAGGCAGAUCCAGCAUAUACUGUAAAUGUGAACGGAACUACAUAUAGUCGUUUUAGUAGCUGGGGCAGUUUCGAAAGGCUUUCAGCACCUUGCUCGCCAUAGCUAUUGACUAUUGUACUAUCUAUUUCUCUAUUUCUCUUGAUGUAUGGAUUCUAUAUAGGCUUCAAACUGGAGUUGCUCGCUAAGGAACUACUAGGUCAACUGAACAGGGACAACUAUGACGGUAAAGCUGUUUGUUCCACCUAGGACGACUGCCAAGGAGCGAAAGGCAAGUAGAGCACAGCGCAAAGAAAGUAUUCAUUCGACAGCAGGGCAAUAUCUUCAGCUCCUCACCAAACAACAAGCUAGCCAUAGCGAGACCAAAUGCUUUCUCAAUAGCACGAAAGAAGACUCCGGGGGUCUGGUAUAGAUUCUUUCACAGAAGAAAGAACCGGUAUGAACAAACCCUAGAGCUGGCAUUGAACUAUUUCAUACCAAUAUCUACUACUUCCUCACCAUUAGUCCGCCUACGAUCAGAAAGGAGGAAGGCUGGAACCGGCAUAGUUAUGUUAAUCAAUUCUCUUUCUUUCUUUCCAGUAAAGUAGGAUUUUUCUCUAUCCUGGGAUUUCCUAAUGUGCCACAACCCAGACUGAUGUAUCCCUCUGGUUUUAGUACUAGAGAACGACAUCGUUUUGACUCUAUGUUGGGAGAGUCAUUUUCUAUUUUACUCUAAAGAAAGGGGGAAGAAAAUGGUGGGGAUUCUUUUUGUAGUCCUGUUAGGGAGACUCCUUUUAUUACUCUAAAGGUAGACACAAGGUGAGAGUACUUUUGUGGAAUGAGAUACUGCACCAAGGAAGCAGCUUAGGGCAAUAAUCAUUCUUUCUAUUCGGGGAGAUGGUGAGUAACGAAGGAAUCUCUGUCCUACUCCUACAGCUAAGCGAAACUCAAACUACGUCGUCUCAGACAUCAGGUCAGACUUUCAAACGGUUUAAGUCACUUUGAUCCUAUAGCUAUUCUACCUCUUUUAUCUAUUGCUACUGUUGACUCUUUCUUACUUAUUCCUUCGUUGCUUUCGGGAAGGGAAGACACUAAGGUCUAUUUAUUCUUAUUAUCUUUAGAAGCGCAGUAGUGAAAGCUGUUUACAUUAUCUGAUCUCUGGGUAAACAUAAGACCAAGCCAAGAUCGACAUUAGCAGCACUUAGGCCUUAUACGGCUGAUUCAAAUAGCAGCAUAUUAUUAUUCCAAGUUAUGGAACUCCUCAAUGAUUGAACCGGCUUCCUUCACUGGCUUCGUAGCGUGUAGUGGGCGUCGCUAAGCAUUCUAUUCUGUCUGCUCUAUACGACAACACCUUAAACUCUCUCGUAGACAACAAAGUAAAGCAAAAACCUAACCUCUCCUCUAAAGGAUGAAACUAGCACCCGCAAACAGGAGUUGACAAAACAAUAACUUAUCCUCUCUACUCAACAAUACAGAUGAUUCUCGAACUGAAAGAAAGACAAUUAGGUAAUUCCUCCACUACAAUACUAAUACUAGCACCCAACAUAUGAAGUACACCGCGCUUUAACGCCCUCACUCCCUUAGCUUCAACGCCCUCUCAUUCCCCUCACUUUCAAAUGUACUACCCCCAUUUUGUGCGUCUACAGACUAGAUCUCACUGAUUCACUUAACGCAACACUCGCAACCCUGGCUUUCUACUCUUACGCUUAAUCGACGCAUGAUAAAAGAGAUGAGGCUUCUAUCGAAGAUUACAGCAGAGCACCGCGCUAGCUUAUUGGAGUAAGCAGUCAGGAGGUUGUUUACAGUUUUCUAUAUGUUUGUUAGCUAUAUUCGGAGUAAGCAGUCAGCACAGGAGAGUCAGGACAGUAAGGAGGUUGUUUCCAAUUUUCUAUAUGUCAGGAGAUUGUUUACUUCUUUCCAUAUGGUUUGUUAGCUAUAUUCUUUUCUAUAUGUUUGUUAGCUAUAUUCUUUUCUAUAUGGUAUAUGUUUGUUAGCUAUAUUCCUUUCUAUAUGUUUGUUUGCUAUAUUCCUUUCUAUAUGGUUUGUUAUCUAUAUUCUUUGAUUUCUUUCGAGUCGAGUUGUGCGCUCAAGUCUAAGCGCUAUAUGGCAGGCACGCAAAGGAAAAGCUAAUAACAGAACUAUACUACAACACAGGAAGGAACUCCAUUCUUGGGACUACAACACAGGAAGGAACUCUACUCUUGGGACCACUACUCGGGAAAGCAAGUACAACUAGGGAAAGCCAAAGAUACAAUAUUGAUUGACAACCCGCAUCAGAAGCACAAACAAUAAGGUAAAGGCCAUUCUCUAAGCGGGAAACUCUUAUUAUAGGGAAAGCUUUUACUGGGGCUUACGGAGCAGCAGCGGAUUCUCUUUAGGAUGUCGACUUUACUUGGAUCUUAAAGCUACCUAUCCCUUGCUUGGGUGGGGUUACUUGGAUUCUAUAGCAUGUGUACUCACCGCUCCGUGGGCUUCUUUAGUUAGUGGUGCGAAAGAAGGGAAAGAAGGGUGUGUGUUUUGCCUUAACCAAGUAAUGGUCCAGUCCAAGGUGAGCUCCAGUCUUCGUCGGCGUUAGUCUAGCCAUUGAGCGCAAAUAUGUGGUUUUCUUGUUGUUCGGGAUGCAAACGGUAGUUUUAGGGGUCAAUCCGGUAAUUUCAUUGAGGUGAGUGAAUCCAAGCCUUAAUAACUAUAGAAGGUUCCGGACAAAGAAGAAGAUCCGUAUUGGAAACAGCGCAACAAAUAGGAAAUGUAUUAGGAACAUAAAGAAAGAAUAUAGGCUAUAAUGCCUACGAACUGCCUUUUCUUCUUCAAUAAGUGAUUCAUCAUUAGCGGUAGGGCAGCUCUCCCAAAUCAACUAAUUCAGAAAUAUACAUUUCCACUCGCCUUCUAAUACAUUUGUAGCCUAAUCACUUCCACCCUUGCCGAACCUUUACCUUCAAGCAAUUCUCCACUCUCUUCAAACAAGCACUGCUCACACUUAUCUUAUUGGAGCAGAGGACGUCAGUGAAGGCGCUAAUGUAGUUCUAAAUAACAGGUUUGGUUUACAGUGAAGUCAGUUCUUCCAGUAUUGUUUCUUUGGGUUCCAGUGUUUUCGACGAGAAUGAAUGGCCAGUUCCCAUUCUAGGAUCAGAUGCCUGAGAAGGAUCCGUUUCAUCAGCAAUUACACGUUUUGAAGCCGAAGCCGAAUCUCAAGAUUCCAUAAAUGAUUUGGCCCAAUCGAAUAGUUGUGCUAGAGCGGAACAAUCAGAUGCUAAAGUAAGGGUAUCAAGGUGUUGGCACAGCUGCAAGCGGGUAUGAGUCUUCAAGUGUAGAGUCUGGCGUGGAGUUACUUGCUUCUAAGUAGGGAGUAGUCUUGAGUCCCGUUAGCUUUGAUAUAUUAGUUUAGCAUUAUUUGAAUUCAAUGACACUAGAGAUAGACUUAAAGGAACUAACGUAAGCACGCCCAAAUACUCCGUUCUGUUUGCUUCCUUCCUUUGAAGUUAAGAUACGAUAAAGAAGUGCGCUUCAUAAAAGGCCAUAAUCAAGGUUAAGGGCAAUUGUCUCUGUUAAGGGAGUUAGUGGAGUUCUUGUUUCAUCGACAAUAGCAGAAACAGAAGAACUCGCUAGUUAUGAUAGAUCUUAGUAAUCAACCCUGUGCUCCUGUCUAGUUUGAGGCAUAAUCCAAUCGAAAGGAAGCUGUAGUGAGAGUUUAGGUCGACAAAAGGGAUAGGGAUUCAGUGUAUUUACUAACGUGUUCUAUACCAAGUUUCCAAUCUUUGUACUGAUGUAAGUACUGAACUGAUGUAUAGUUCCAGAAGAGAAAGAAGCGCUUGUGCUAACGCUAAUGGGAGUUUCGGGACGCUUACCCUUAUUGGAGUAAAGAGUGAGAAGUGACUACUACUUUGGAUAAUGUGGCUCGAUAAUUCCAUUCAAACUAGCAAGUGGGAGAGGGGAACAAGCUUUAGGCGCAAAGGGAACGAGCAAAGAAGCGCAGUGGUCACACUUUCGAAUUAGUGAGUGAGAGAAAAUGGCUGGAACAAGUAAUGACGCAAGGGGCCUGGCCUCCAUUACAUUAUUUAGAGUAAGAAGAACAAACAAGGGAAUAAGCUUAGGAAUAAGUAUGAGUUAUUAAAGGAAGCAAAGCAGUGUCAUUUACGGAAGCUAUGUGAGGAGUUGUUUUGCUAAUUCGAUUAUUAGAUUCAUAUCUUCUUAUAUACGUAGUAGCUUUUCGAUUGGCUUUUCCUUGUAGUGGUCGACCUCUGGUUUGUCACUAAUCCUUUCACCCAUGGUAAACAAAGAGAAUGGCGCAUCAGAGGAACAGACAAUAAGGCUUUCCUUAGCUUCUUUCCCUUGAGACAAAACCCGCCUUGUUUAUAAUGAGCAAGCGAACUUUCAAAACCAUAUUGACUCUUACUCGCCCUAGGCUAGGAUUACACCAAUAAAGUGAGAAUGGAACUUCUCAUUUCGUAGGGUGCUUGCCCUUAAGUUAAUGGUGUUGGCGAAAGUAAGGGUUCCGGGCAGGAAUAUAUGACUGACUUUGAAAGCAGCAUGCGCCCUGAGAGUUAGCAGUAUGGAGUUUCUCCCCAAGAGUCAGCAUCAGUGAAUUCUUUGACUUCAUAACCAAAAUCAAUUACUUCCGAAGCUUACGGAGUUCCAUUCAGCUUCCGCGCAAGAGAAAGAUAUAUGAAAUGUGGAGGGUAUUAGUUUGAAACAAAGAUUAUUGGGAUCUGAGCAAUUCCAGUUUAGACCAUAGAGGCAUGACAUUCAGAACGGAAAACCAAAGAAAACACAUAUCAUAGGCGCCCCCCCGGAAAGUCAAAGAAUGGAAUGGCAAACGGUGAACUAUACUCGCAAACUCCAGCUCAAAACUGUGAGACUCUCCUAAACUCGCAAACUCCAGUAAGCGCAGCUCACAAACGCUAACUCCUUACUCCUACAUCACAAUCUCUUAUUCCACUCCUACAUAUCACAAAUUUCUUAUUCAUUCAUAUAGAGAUGCUAUAAAGAGUAAUCUAUUCCAUAAGCCCGAAAGUAAGCUAACACACCUCGGCCCGAAAGAAACUCUACACCCUAUUCUAUUCCUGACUAGCUCACGUAAGCGCCCGAAAGAAACUCUUCACUCUAUUCCUUACUCUAUUCCUUAGUUACUGAAUCUCAUUCUUAUUGAAUAUUAGUUUCUCAGAAGCAAACUAGCUACGUUCCUGAAAAAGAAGAGAUAUGAAAUGAUUCAAUGAAAGGAGAGGUCUGUAAGGUAAUCAUCUAUUCCUUAUGAUGCGAGGUUAAGUGGAUAGAAAAGAAGAAAAGAGAAGAGAAUAAAGGUGCUUGCUCCUAGGUUCGAGUUAGUGGAAGAAUCUCGUCGAUGAGAGAAUGAAUCAGCGGGUUUGUCGAAAGUAAGAGUAAGGGCUGCGUAAUUGAAGUCGUGAUUCAAAGCAUCUCGCAAGAAAGCGGUCUAUACCCUUAGCCUGCUCACUAUUAUACUCGCUCCUCUAGGUAUCUCAUUGAUUGAAAGGCACUUUUUUAGCAAUUGUGAAACGCCGGGCUUCCACAUAAUCUUCUCCCCGCUCCGUGUGUGAACACCUAUGCUAUUGAUUCUUAUAGCUCGGAUAGAAAAAGCAUCUAAAGUAGACAAGAAAAGAAAACAAAGGGACGAACAAAGGAACGAAAACAGGACUUGGCGGCUUGGCUCUUUCGCUUUUUUUGUAUAUGACAAUGAGAUAUAGUAUAAGAGAAUGUUUGAACAAGCAAAUCCAGAAAUAAGAUAAUGUGGAGCCAAUGAAGAAGAGUCGAAUGACGCCCUGCCUUUCCGUCUAUAUCUCUUCUGAAAACCCUACCCGUUGUUGUGGGGGUAGCAAAUCUUUCUUUCCCUCGCUGGUAUUAGCUUUCCCUCACAGGUAUUAGCUUUCCCUCACAGGUAUUAGCUUUCCCUCACAGGUAUUAGUAUCAAUGCACCUUUCCAGUAUUAGUAGAAGUACCCUUACUACCUAGUGGUUUUCUUAUUGGCUGUGGCCGCACCCUCUCUCUUUCUUUAGUUUUAGAUGCAGCGCUGCUCACUUGUCUCCUUGCUUCCGCUACUAGUAUUUCUCCAUUACAAAUCCUAAUUUCACUGGUGCUAAGCAAACUCUCACUGCGGAUUCGGAUCUUUACCUUGGUGCUUAUCAACCUACCUCCCCCCGAUUUGAUUCUCAAUCUGCUCAUUUCUAUUCUGAUUAAUCCGCCGAUCGGUCUGCCCUGCUUUAAAACGACUUGACUUCUUUAGCUACUGAGAACAAGGCUUCCACUGCUAAUGGAAAGAGUAGAACAGUUCCCAUUAAUACAAGACUAUAUAUAAUAUAAGUAUCGAGUGUCAGAAUGGAAAUAAGGGUAUCGGUAGUGAAAUACUGCUUCUAAGACUACAACCAGUGCUUCUCAUCAUGAAACUAGGUACUCGGUAAUCAAACUAGUGACAGGUAAUGAUUCUAAGGUGGUCCACCAAGCCUUAUUACCUUCCCAGCAUACCACUCCUAGAGAUUAGCUUUCAACUUCCUCUCCAUACCAUAAAACAGAUAUGACUUUCUCUUAUUCUGAAACUAACCCUCUCUCUUUCUUUGACUCCCGACCUCGGGCCUUACUUGACUUUCUCUAGGGCUUCAACAACUAACAAGGGAUUCUUUAAACACUGGCAUAGAUCCUUACUUGGCUAUAACUGGCAUAGAUCCUUACUUGGCUAUAACUGGCAUAGAUCCUUACUUGGCUAUAUAAGUAAAGUCUACAUCAACAACUGUGGAAAGGCUCCGUUCGAGUGUCGGUGUGCAAUGAAAUGUUGUUUCUGUCCUAGGUAUAGUAUAAAGUAACAUAUCCAUAAAAGAAGCCGAAUCGAAUGCUUUUGUGUUGUCUCCAGGAAAGGACUCAUAAGAAGGUGUUCUAGCUUAGCUUCUUCUCGAACUUAAUACUAGGGACCCUAUCCUUUCUAUCCACUAUAUUCCAUUUCAUUCUUUCUACUCGAAGUAAAGUAUCCGACAAGAACUAAAGAUUCCACUUAUCUUGCUUCCUUAACGGAUCUUGUUCCCUAUUGGUUCCGUCUCUAGGAAAGGACUAUACUAAAUGCUGGUUUGAAAGCCUAAUACUCGAAAUCCAUCUGGUGGAGCGGUAUCUCAGAACAAGGCAGGUGCUAAAGUAUGAGUUGCUUUGGCUAAGGGCCACUCUUUAAGCUACCUAUCCAUGAGGUUCCCUCCUACAGAAUCUUUAUUGGCUGGUGAAGAACUAACUAACGCGGAAGAUGUGAGUUAUGAGAAGAUUACUUGUUUUGAGAACUCAUUGAGGCGCUGGUUUGAGUACGGGUAUUAAGGAACAAUAGCAGAAGAAUCCGAAGCAACUGAAUCUGCUGUAUAAAGAUGCUGUUAGGUAUCAGAGUGAAGGAGCAAGUCAAGUCUUGGAGAGCCUCUAUAAUCAGUGCCAUUAGUAGUAGCGUGUCUGGCGCUUUACCUUAGCUUAGUAUCAUCUGCCCACAUAGCGGUUAAGGUAAUUAAUUCGGUAGGUCGCUCUCGCCGGUUCAACAAGCCGAGAAGAAGGAUUAGAUAAAGCAGCAAUAGAUUAUGAAAGUGUAGAGUCUUGAGUUAGUUGUCGUAAAUUAGAUCUUAUGCAAGAGGGAUUCCAUUCAUACUAAACUAAACACAGGUCAACCUCCAAUGCUUGAGCAGUAGCAAAAGUGGAGUGGAAAGAUAUUUGAACCUUGGGAAAGUAGCUCGCUAACGCUUAUUUCUACUUAACUUGUCUUGUGCGCUAGCUUACUCGGAGUGCUUAGUGUCAUUUGAUGAUUUGAUUCUUCUUCUUGGUUUACAUCACAAUCUCCCUACUUAUAGUUUAGUUGCGCUCCAAGUUCCAAAUGGAAAAUCUCCUAUCUCGUAAAGUGGCGUUCCCCUACUAUAUUGCAAGUCUAAAGUAGAAACUGUUAUUUCGGUGCAGUGCCUAUCUUAUCUGUCCUUAUUGUAUAGGUGCGGUGCCUCUCUGUCCUUAUUGUAUAGGGUAGGGGUUCGGUUGCAUCAAGCAACAUUCUAUAAUGGCAACAAGUGUUGGUUGAUUGGGAGUUUCCGAGUUUGGUGAUUACUCAAUUAUAUCAUGUGUUACUUCUUUCUGCAAUUCCUGUUUGACUGGCCCAUCAGUGCUUUAUAGUCUAACUGCUACAAAAGUGCUAAAGUUAGUUCGCAAAUCAGAAACUAGCCCUCUAGCUCGGCUCUUCACUGAACUUACCCUUACCCUUGCGUACCUUUGCUCGGCUCUUCGAAGAAAUACGGGGCGCUUAUACGCUUAAGUGAGUUAAGAGUCUGGAAGCAAAGCAGGUUGUUUAGGGAAAUCCAUUUAGUUGUCAUGCAUAUGUUGUAGAGCCAGUAGUAAGCUGUUUUGUUUCAACAAGAAAUUAGGUUAGCCUUUCUUAUAUCUUCUGAAUGCUAGAUGCCACUCUGAAAGCGCUAGGCUAGGCCCCGGCAACUCGCAAACUCCGUGACUUAUUUCUGGCUUUAGUUUACGCAAGAUUAGUAGUUGCUUUUUCCAUUGCUUGGUUCUAUUUCAUUUCCCUAUACAGGCCUGGAGCUGGCUAACGCACAACGUCUUUUGAUCUACUACAAAAAGCAGCGACUUUUACCACUACAAGGGUGUUUUCCCCUAUUUCUCUAAGGUUUCACUCAUGUUUCAAGGGUUAAUCAAAGCGAAGAAUCUAAAGUCGGAGCAAUCCGUUUAGUGACGUUAGAAAGGUGUUCAUUAUUUAUUAGUUCCACGACCCUUAACUAAAAGCAAGCCAAGCACCACUUUCCAACACUCACUCGUACCCGAACAAUACUUGAAGCCUAAUAACUCGACCAACGGGAGCUUCCAGGCAAGUACUUGAUUCUUACCUGAACCGACCGCUGCCACGUGGGUCUAUUUUAGGGUUAGGGUAACUCCUCCUCAUUCCAUUCUUUGGAACUACUAACGCAAAGCCUCAAUUGAACCGCCUCUGAUUCUAUAGACGAUGAAAGUCAAGUACCUAAAGAGAAAGACUCUCCUAAAGCCAAAGAGAAAGACUCUCAAAAAGUGAGAACCGCACGAUGACACUCAACUUGAAGUGAAGCUGACCCCCGCUAUACAAUGAAAGUAGACUUGCUGUUUUUAUCUGAUAACUAUUUCGAGCGCUAAGGGAAACGAGAAUGGAGUCUUUGAAACGCCUUGUUUCAUUUGAAUUGAACUCUCUUGCAUCGCAUCUACAUCUAAGUUAUUAAUCUUAUGCCAUACCACUAACUUGAUACUCAGCCUCUGCUGUUUAGCAUUCAGUCUGAUCUUGACAUUCAUUGCCUUUCGUCGACAACAUAAGAAAGAACAGAACUCUAAGGAAUAUGAAAUGGAAGGCUUUAAGAUAUUCCAGCCCGGAACCCUUAUCUUUAUACUCGUUGGGAGUUCUCAUCCUUUGCUUUGUUAGUCCAAUUGCCCUUGACGAAGUUAGUGAAAUUCAAUAAGUCAUAAUGUCAGCUCAAUGAAAAAAGUGAGUUCUUAUCUUGACCCGAAGCGAAGGUAGCGUUCGUAAGGCUACAGCUUGAUACUGUUCCUUUGGCACUGAUGAAAUAGUGGGAAUUCAAGAUGCUUAACUGCAGAAAAUCAUUUCCACUUGAACACUGUUCUAAUAUGCUUAUAGCACUCACACCCAACUCUCCUAAUAAUAAUAAUAACUCGGUUAAAGCAACAAAGGGAAAGCCCAGACCAGAACCUAGACCACUUUCGCAGACAAUGACACAAGAACGGAUAAAACGUCACUUGCUAAGAACUAUUCUUCUUAUGAUUUAUGAUUCUUUAUUGGGAGAUUCUUCCCUUGCUUCCCGAGUGCGCUAUCGGUUUGUCGGUUCAGAAUCUCUGUCUUCGUCUUGGUUCGGAACAAGCUUAGUGAGCUCCGUUGUGUGUGCCUUAGGAGUUGGUUGAGUUAGACAUAUUCUUUUCUGUAGAGUAAAGAGAGCAAGCAAGUGGUGGAGUUAAAGGCUUUCCCGACUUGACGUUAAGGGUGAAGGUCCGUCCAUCUAGUCCAAGCAUCAAAGGUCAAGUAAUCUGUAGGCGUGGGCUCGCUAACGCACUUGUAAAAGCAGCUCACUGACGCUUACGCACAACAUCCAUCUGGUUUCGACUCCUUACUAACGCAAUAAUAGUCCUUUCCCAUAGGUGAAACAACGCAUAAAGGCAACUAAUAGAUUGAAUGGGGUGUCGAUGUACUGUAGCUCCUUUGACUUGAGUAUCGUCUCUUUGCUUUGGGUGCAGUAAAUUCCGUUAGCGCUUAUGAACUUCAACUUAUAGUAUAUAAACCAUAUAAUUAUUGAAUCAGAGGAUGGAGCGGGUAAGAGAAGAUGAUAGGUAAUUUCCCAUAAAACGAAAAAAGAAUUGGAAUAAUGCAUUUUGAACCCUAUAGUCACUUGUUAUGCUAAGGAGUGGGGCUUAUGGUGAAGUGACUUUCUACAUUCCCUCACGCGCGCAACUAUUCUGCAACGCGCGCAACUCUCUAGGGUAUCUCUCGGUCGAAAGGAUGCUUACCAGUGUUGGAGGCUUUGAAGCGGGGUUGCCAGUAGUAGGGUGGAUUCUUGAGCCAUCGUUCCGCUGCCCUUCCGUAGUAGCUUGGCCUAACCACUCCUGUUACACUUGUCUAGUCGUUACUUGCCUACUUGUCUAUCCGUUACUUGGCUAAUAGUAGUGACUUUUUGAGUAGCUUGGCCAAGGGCUUGGCUGUUGUUUUGUAUUACAGUUGUGUUUGUAGAAGCACUAGGACAAUUCCCUAUCAUAAGUCAAAGUAUUAGAAGCACCGGUCUAUUUCUUUAUUCGAAUAAGAUGAAGACUCAGAAGAGGGUUGGGACAGGCAGUACACUAGCUCAAUUCUUAUAAGGACUAGUUGUUUUCUUGUGCUACCAGAGGAUAUUCUGACUUUUGAGUAGGAUUCCCUAUUUCUUGGGCGUAGAUGCACUACAUCAUCGUACCUGAACUCACCGAUACUAGUAUAAGAACCGAAAGCAAGCAAAGGCAGCUUCAAGGCAGGGAUAGGGGGACUUCAAUCUAACAAGUCAGGAUCUAAAUAAGUAGUUACAGAGUUCAAGAAGCAAUACAGAGAAUCAAACCAAGGAGUUUAGGCCAGUGUUGAACCGCUCCUGUUAUGAGCAAGUCCGGUUCCACAGAUUCCAUUAUUUCUUAAAACAGCAAAAGGGGCGCUCAUCUUGUACUUGAAAGGACUGGGCGUUGAAAGAAGGCAAUAAUCCAAGUCAAGGCGGAGGGAAUCAAGAAAUAAGUACUCUUGUAUGGGGUGAACUCCAUUCCAUUCUUUAGCGUCAAAGCCACAAGCAACGGCUAAAGCAACGAUAGAAAGUGUCGUAUCUUGUAAGGUAUCAAGAGGGAGGGGAGUUUCUCGUAUCUUGUCUGGUAUCAAUAAAGUGUAUAUGAAGAGUAAUGUGCUCUCUUUUUGAGUCUUGUUCGUUGCGUGCGUUGUAGUGAGCGGUGACCAGCUGUGUUUUGUCAGGAAAGUAAGCAAGACGUUGUGCUAAAGAAGACUAAGUGAGAAAGUAAGUAACGUUAGGAGUAGUUUGGAAGCUAUGCUCUCUCUGUGAAACCCGAUCUUAUAGAACUGCUAGGCGCUGAAGAUGGCAUUAUCAAAGUCAGGGCAAUAAGAAAUACAGUGUUUUGUUACUACUUUAUAGGUUCACUUACAUACAUUCUGAACUCAAAGAGAACAAGCUAACAAGCAAAAAGUCACUGCUACAAAGCAAAGGCAAAGAGAGGAAUUAACUACCCCCGGAGUAGGAACUAAAGAAUAAGUGGUAUCCUGAGUAGGGGAAGAAAAGGGUACUAAAGUAAGGUUAUGACCUGUGACUUGCUCAUAACAGGAGCAGCCCUUUAGCACAACAGACUAUGUUGCUUGGCCGUUAUUCGCGGCAGCGACUGAAUGUUGCCCGUCAGCGAGUUCUAGUAUAGCGUUAGAGGGAAGGGCUUCCUCUCGUACACUUGCUCGUUCUGUUUCUUCACUCCAUUGCUUCUCCUUGUUUAAUUAAGGCUUGAAACCAACCAUGUCGUGGGCUAAGCGUCGCAUUCGCUUCAUAGUCAAAUGGAAACUACUCUAGCGUUCCAUACUUUGAUUCUAGUAAAAACACAGAACAAGCUGUAGUAUCCGCUCUUUUUCCGUUGUUUGUUUACUUGCUCUUAAAGCUACUGUUAGCACAACGUUUGGCGAACUCCGAACUUAGGUACUUGACUUCUAUCUUGCCCUUGCUUCUAGUGAACUUGUUUCUUCCAUUGGUUGUGCCUAUUACUCUAUUGUUUGUUAUGUUGCUGACUUUCCGAAUGGAAUUGUACAGAGAUCAAUGGAAUUGUACAUAGAUCGAUAGAAUUGUAGAUAGAUCUCUCGAGUCGUAAGUCUGGCGAUAGAGUGAUGCUUGGCAUAGAGAGUACUUUAUUGGAGCAAAGGAGAGUCCCAUAUAUUACCUUCUCUUUCUCCUGUUGAGCAAAGUGAAGUCCCCACCUUCUUUCUAUUCUUUCUGCUUGAAGGAAAGUCUAAAGUGGAGUAGACAGUAGCAAUAGAAGUCAGAAGUGGAGUAGACUGUUUAGUGUAUACAGUAGCAAGUCUCACAAGUCGGAGGUGGAUCGAAAGAACAAGCUUAAGCGCUAAGAGAAAAGAGGUGAAAGUUAAGGGAGUUUACAGCUACGUUAAGGGUAUACGAGUGAGGGUGCUAGUCUGGAAGUUGAAGUAGGUGAUUGUGUCGGCGACGCGAGAAGAGGAAUCCCCUGUUAGUAAGAUAAGUCCUGUCAGCACUAGUUUCAUCCUUAUUUAUAUCAUAUAAUACCAGAGUUUCAUAAGCUCUUUGCCGAUUAUCGACAAUACGGGAAGAGAUUGGUCGUCGAGGAAUGACAAUUCUCUUUCUUUUUAGACGAGCCAGGAUGCCACAAUUAAGUAAAUGAAACAAGUCUCAAAUUGGAUCAAGAACAGCCGACUCUUCUCUUAUUCUUAAGCGAUAGGGCUUGUAUUCUAUUGAAGGAUAGUUGGCUCGACUUGCUCAUCUCUACUACGACAAGAAAAACACUGACUUUGAAUAAUAAGAAGGUAAGCACAAAAGCGAAAUUGAGACCAGAUCCAACUAGCCUGCUCAGCGAGAGUGGGUUCUCCUCUCUAUCCUCUGCUUGUAAGAAAUCCUGUCAGUAAUGUCACUAAAAGAAAUCCAAUCGGUAAGAGCCCACUUAAGUAGAGACAGCCCACUCCCGUGAUUGAUACAAAUUCUCGAAACCAGGGGUAAGCAUCUUCCCUACCCUAACCUAUCUAAAGAUCUACCCUUUGACUCUCCCAACACUUAUUCAUUAUAGCGAACAUCUUCCAACCAUUAUCCCAGCUCAAUUACAUCGACCCUAGACUAGACUCAAUACUCUCUAUAAUAAUCCAAAAGAAUAGAAUGGCAAUACAAAUAAAUGCAAUCCAUUCGCGCCUAACAGCUUGAAAUUGAAAGUCAGCAGAUAGGGAAAGGCAGAAGGAAUAGCGUCCUAGCUCCAAUAAGGCUUCGUUCCUUAAGCGCUCUGAUCUACGACCACCGUUGCGCUAACAAAAGCCGUGUGUGUUGGUGACCGGCCGAAACUCGCACUACCACUAAUAACAUAAGGCACCUUUGGGCGAUGUUUUGAUCCUAAACUUGUACUCUUCAGACUCACUCUUUCCGUCUUCACGCAAUGAAAGCUAGUAUACUCACAACUAUAUAUCAAUUUCUAGAAAUCGUAUACUAUUCCCCAACAGCUAAAGCUUUUGACUUCUCUAAUAAUAUAUAUUGACUUCUCUAAUAAUGUAUAUGUAUGCUUUCUUUCUUUUGACUUCUCUAAUAAUGUAUAUGUAUGCUUUCUUUCUUUGGCAAUCUCCAUUCUUAUGCGGAAGAUUCUCCUUGUGUAUACAUGGUAAGAAGUCCCUAUUCUUUGGCGAGGGAAAGGAUUCUGGGGGAACUAAUUCUAUCGGGUCGUGGGGCAUAUUCCAAUUCCAAUUGCUAAUUGAGCGUUGCAAGGGUCCGGCCUAUAAAGACGUGCAACGAAGCUGUAAGGGACAGUGGGGAGAGUGGGCUAGGCGCAAACAUAGCCCAUAGUAUACGGGCCUAUUUACAUCAAAGGAGAGCCCGAGGAUUAGCAGGCCUCUUCGUUGCGCAGGGAGUACAGCUUAAUAAGAUUCUCAAAGAAGGUCUUUCUUUCCCCUUUCUUUGGCCUACCUCGGCCGGUCCCGCACGAAUGCGUCACACAUUGUUUCGCGUCUCAGUCUGCCUUCGUAUAAUAUGUUCGUAUAAUAUGUAUAAGGAAUAUCAAGCCAUUUUCUCAUAGCGCGGGGCGGUAGGUCAGUUGUCACUAGAUUUUCCAUUCCAGAUAUGGACAGCACUCACGUCGGGUGAACUAUGAACUCCCAUCCGGGAAGUCCGUUCAGACACCGGGUAAUCUAAAGGACCAAGCAACGGCAUAUAUUCCAGUGUAGUUCGGAAGUCAACUGCAAGCAUAAAGUAUUGUUCAAGUGAUAGGGCUGGGCAAUAGGUAAGGAAUGGCAGGGAAAGGGUAGAAAGGUUCUGGCUUUACUAACUAUUGAUUGAACUCUUGAUGGAUAACUAUUGAUUGAACUCUUUUGAUGGCAACUAUGAACUUCAUUCGGUAUACCUCUCCUCAGCGUGAGCCCUCUUCAACCCUUUCAUAAUUCCAUUUGCUGCUGGUUUUCUCUCUUCCUAGCGGGAUUUCCCAUCAUACAUAAGAAGUGAUGUUUUAGUGCAUUUGUAGUGUAUACCUGCACCCAUCUUCGGUUAAGCCCUGUGCCCUUAAUUAAUUCGUUCUUCCCGCUUCAUCUCCAGUGAAGAAUAGCUUCCCGCUGAAAAGCAAGUACUUGAUUAUUCCCUGCAAUUAAUAGUAAGGGCCCAGCUUUCCAGGUCAUCUUUCGAGCAAGUCCUAUUUAUCUAAUUGCUAUUAGAAAACCAAGUAGUGUUUCAUCCAACUAUACAAGAUCGGGAUAUCCGGAGCAAGUUGUUAUAAUCAAAUAAGAAAUACCGGCAUCUUAGUUCUGGUAUGAAAUAGUCACUACUUCCAUUCUUACGAAAAAGCAGUCAGUCAAUCCUUUAAUAAAGGCGGGGUCUUUCUUUUGCUUUGUCUGUUCUAGCUGCAAUCCCACUCACAAUGGAAAGGCUAGCACGACAGGAAAUAAAUGGCAAUGCAAACUCCCACCGCAUGCACUAUAGCCCAGGAACCGGCAAUACUAAAUCAUUGCGGAUUCGAGAACAAGGCCCUUCGCACCAAGGGAUCUAGACACUUUUUCUCCCUUCUUUCGAUUCGUUUUUUCGGAUCUUGCCGGGUAUUUUCGUUAUGCAAUCUCCAAAAGUAUGUUUGAAAGGUAACCGCUUGAAAGGAGACUACUUGAACUCGCUUAAAAGCGCCUCACUGUGCUUUGAAUAGCCAUUAAAGCUAGAGAUACGAAAGAGUAUUGAUGUUCUAAAGAAACAUCCCCUCCCACUGGUUUAGAAAUAUAGCUCGGAAACAUCCCGCGUGAGCGAGUGCAGCCUUCCAGCUCAGAUUGCACUGGGGAUUCUGGGGAAAUACAGGGGGGGAACUUCAAAUAAGACUCACUCCAUUCUCUCUGCAGGGCAAUAGAAGGUAAUCCCGACCUAGGACAGUAACCAACGAAGGUAACUUCUUAGCAUUAGCAAGGUGGCAAAGCAGCAAACGAGGAAGCAAGCGAGCACUCUUAACUAACCCGAAGGCGAGCGAAGUCACUCCCCCAACCAACUUCUCAUACAUUUGUGGUUUGUUUUUUCAGAGAAUAAAUGAAUGGAAUAGAUUAGAUUCAUCAACAAAGGGAUAUAGCAGCAUGAAGGCGACGGAACUUUGAAGCUACUCUUAACAUUCCUCUUCGGCUAUUUCCGAUCGGAUCUUGACAGGAGUUAGUGUGUGCAUUGAUGCCGAGAAUACGCUCUUUUAUAGAAAUGAAAUGGAAUCUCCGGCGCUUGAGCCAAGCAAGAAAACUCAAGCUAGAAAGCCCUCUAGUUAGCCCAGCCGUUUUAUUGCUUGUAAAUCAAUAGUUGCAGCUUUAGGAGCUAAUCUUGCUACGGAUUGAUUCCAUGAAAAGGAAGGGACUUUCUGCUGCUCGCUGAUGCUUUUAAAUACUUUAUUCCGGCUGGCUUUGGGAAGAGGCAAUCAAGUUUCGCUAUAUACCUCUGCCCAAUAGUUAAGUAAGAAAAAAGCAUAAGUUCGAUAUUCCAGUAAAUGUACUCAAAUUCCAUUGCUUACUAUUCUCAUAUUCGAUUUUCAAAACCUCCCAUAAAAAGAGAUUAGAAUACUCCUAAGGGAAAGUCCUAAUUAAGCUUUGCACUUCUAAGUCUCCUAAACCAAGUCCUACAUUUGAUGUAAAGUAUUAUGUAAAAUCUCCCUUCUAGAAAGCAGAGGAUAUGCGGAUGCUAGGUUAGGCGCGUCAAGGUAAUCAUCGGGUAAUCAUAUAAAACACUAACUUCACACCAAUCGGGGUAGUAAAUGUAGCCUUCUGAAACAGUAGGUAGGCGUACAGCUCUCAUGCCCUUUUCUUUUCGCCAGUAACUCAGAAAGGAUUGAUUGAAGCGAGCCCUCGGUAAUGGUAUGCGAGAAAAUAGGUAGCUGGCAAAGCGGUCAAUGUACUUCACCGUACAGACAAAAGUAUUGCAUCCCUAUACAACAUCAGUCGAGCUCGCUCCAAUAAGAAGGCAUUGUUUAAAGCUAGUUUGAGCAUUCUUUCUAACUGUAGUUUGGUUUCUUUUGAUUGAAUUAUCCAGUUCCUCACCGAGAGGCUCGAGAGACCUAAUUCCCCCAGGGCAUUCUCACGUUUUUGGCUAGACCUUGGCUUGGAUGUUCUAGUGAGCGUGCUAGCCGGGCCUCCACCAGCUCGAAGGCUUAUCUCCCUUUUCUUCUCUGUAUGCUGAACUAUUACCCUUUGUUCGGGUACAUGCCAUGCACUUAGGUUUGGUUCUACUCUGAUCUCAUCGGACACUCAAUGAAAGGCUUACAUUCCAUUACGAAGCGGGCAUAUAGAUAUGAGAGGAAGCAAGCACCGAAAUAGAUGCCUCUUCCAGCUCUUUAUUAUUGGAAUAUGCCUUAAGCUCUGCUUCCCAUGCACAUAGAGGAUAUAAGACGGAUGUUUACUAUAGAUCUGGAAUUGACUUAGAUGCUGGUUCUAAAUGCUACUUCAUCUUUGACUUUGGACUACAAAGAAGAACCCACCUUUUCCUCUACUAGCUACCUUUGGCUUCUUUGGCCUCGUCCUACUUUCACUCGCAUAUAUGUCCGGCUUUCGUUCACUCUUGAGUUUACAUGGAAGCUUUAGUGCCACAUGGCGGGGAUCUCCUUUGUCAAGGGAAAGGGAUGGCCCGUGGGAAGGGUUCAUCCUAGCUUGAUACUUCCUUCCCACAAUCACUGCCGUCUUGUCUCCGUCGGGAGCUCUUAUGUCUCUAAGCUCGUAACCAAUAGCUGUUAGAGGACCUAGGAGGUGUCUAGGCCUAGCGGUUUUACCUAAAGGAAUCCCACAGUAUAAGCAAUUAGUGCUUUAUGGAAUUAUGAGGAUACCUAUUCCUUUACUCGCACUAUUGACCCACAGGAGUUUCCGCGUACGAUAUUGUCGAUACGAGAAUGGAGUUUCCGUGUACGAUAUUGUCGAUACGAGAAUGCCGAUACAAGAUCAACAGCAAAGAUGGAAAGAAAGCACUAUUCUGCCAUGCUCUCCGUGUCGUCCGAAGUAGUUACCGCCGUGGACAUAGGACAAAGCUAGCUAGACGAAAAGCGGUCUUGUCAGUUUCCGAUUCGAUGGUUAGCGAUUGGGUUUCGAGUCUUUGCGAUGUGUGUGAGCACACUUAUUUCAUGCUAGUCUGUUCUUUCUGUUCCGACCGAUAGAAGUGGUAUUGUUUAUCUGUCUUAUUGUCUUUCUUGUUCCUCCAUAAAUUGUUUCCAUCUUGGAUUUGCUUGAUGAGUGGUUCAAGGUUGAUCUCCAUGUCAUGAGGCAGGAGCGAGAGAGGGUGGGAAUAGGUAUUGCACCCGCUAGAGCGUUAUUGCUUCCUCGGCUUGAAGUGAGGCUAGUGAUACCUUCUGAGUUUUAGGGGUUCACGUGAGCUUAUCAAAAUCAAUUGAAUGGCAAAAGUCACUAAAGAAAAACAAACUAGUUGUUGAUGGUCGAAAAACAAACUUGUUUAUAUGGUCUUAGUAGGGUAAUGAGAGUUUUUAGGACUUCGGAUAGCUAUAGCCUAUUGGGGCGUUCCAUCGAGUUUGUUGCUUACUAGCUAGCUCCUCGUACUCUAACAGUAAGGUUAAGGGAGUUAAGGAUACCAUUGGAUUAUGGCACCCGAACGAGUAGAGUUGUCUAUUCCUCUGCUUUCUGCUAUCUUGAGUGUCGAAAAGUCAAUACUCUAAUGUCAUAAUUGAUAGCAGGAGAAAUUAGUGAACUGCCAUUAUUGGUUAACUGCAAUUAUAGGUGAACUGCAAUUAUAGGAAGUGGGUUGUUUAGAGUGGAGGGAUUGCAUAGGUACAAUUAAGCACGAGAAACCUAAGCAAGAGAUUAUCAUCCGCUCGGGUAAGCUUUCAAGCCCCUGGACCUCUUAUUACCCGAGAAAACCCCAAAGAGAAUGAAAAAGAUAGAUAUAUAUAUAUGAAACAACCCCAAAGAGAAUGAAAAAGAUAUAUGACAAGAUCUGAGAUAAGGCAUUUAUCAGAGAGUGCAGGAAAGCAGAAGAAAGAAGAUUCAAUCUCCUGCCUCACUAAAAUAAGAUAGGACCUUAGAUAGGGGGUAAGUAUUGAGUUAGCUUAAGGGCGAGAUCUUCCUUGAGAGAGGCUUGGAUCUGACAGAGAGAAUGCGUACGAGAUUCGAAAGUGGAAGCAGAGCAUUACCUUCGACAGAAAGAAGGAUCAGAGGAUUACGGAGAGUUAGUUACUAGUUGUCAAGCACUACAUCAACUAAGAAAGCUUGCUUAAAGAAUGGUGCAUACCGGCCACGUGAACUUCAAGUAGAAAGUAUAAGACAAGGGCAGUGAUUUCCUCUUCUCCGACAGAAAAGAAAGGAUCGGGGGAAUGGGUAUGAACCCUAAGAUCUUACAUAACUCCUUGCACCAUACCAACACUAAUGAGGAACUAACCAACCGGGGGAAGAAAUCAAGAAAAAUAGAUUGUUUAGUGACUUAGUCAAACACACAGAAGAAAGAAACUCCAAGAAAAGUCAAUGGCCCGGGAGCCUAUUUGUAUAACUGAAUUGGAAAGCAAGAAGAAAGUUCGACUGAUAGGACCUUACAGAGGAUUAACUCGAGCUUAUGUCCUUACAGAAAGACCACUUUGAUACAUUUCCUACGAGACGGACUGCUUACGGGAAGGAAGCCAGAUCAAUCAGGAAUUGGUGAGCCUGGCGACCUCUGCUCCUCGCUGCUAAGACUAUCCGGUAAGCUUCCUAUACUAUUAUUUGGAUUGUUGUAGGGCCAUUUGCUAUAGCUUCUAAAGUCACAAGCUGCUCUGGUUCCCCUUUCUCUUAUCGCCAGUGAUAUAUAGCUUCAAUUAGGGUAUCGCCAGUGAUAUAUAGCUUUUCUUAGGGGGCAUUAUCGUCUUCAUGCGCAGUAAUUGCCAGCCUUUCUUCUUUGCACGAGCUUCCACAGUUGAUAGAUCUGGAGCCAGAGUGCCACUCUUUCUAAAUAGGUAGGACUUUCUCUCUCCAAAAUAGAACUUUGGUGCGAUCUGAAACUAAUAUAGUGAUUGAACCUAAAGUAGAACUAAAAGGAGAGAAAGUAAACACUCCGCCAAUCUAUAUGAAUUGUUAGUGGGGGCAAUGGUUUACCUUUACCGGAGGAAAUGCUAGGUUAUGGUCCUGUCCUAGAAACCGUGUCUAUAGGCCUCUAUUAUCCAAAUACUUAGUGUGUUGGGUAUUCAGAAUAUGGACUCGAGCAAUAAGGUAAGGGUGUCUAUGUCAAAUGGCAGACAGGUUUAGCAAUUCGUUUUUUGGCUUUGUUUGGCCGCUCGCCUUAAGGCUUCUGCCUUCUUUGCUUUUCAUGAGUUCAAGAGAUUAGCUUACGGACGGAUAGAAGAUCAUCCUUAAGGCCUUCUGCUGUGGGGGCGGGUUUCGGUAUAGGUCCACGAAUAGCGCUUUCUUUCCAAUAGAUGGCAUUCAUUGUAUAGCUCCUAAGUCGACUUACCCCGGCUAGUCCCAUUCGUUAGCUUAGUUGCUUAUUUUCGACAGCCAACAGCUAAAGGUGACUCUCCAAAGUAGCUAGAAGAAAGGCUAGGAUCCACAUCACUUUCUCUAUUUAAUGAAAAGACAUAACUUCUCAAGAUUGAUUUAGUAAAGAUUUCUUUAGGAUUCUCUGCCUGGUAACUUCGGAAUUCUUAUUUGUUUUCUUAUUUGUUUGACUUGAAUUCUGCCUCAUCUAUCGUUUAGCCCUAAUCCUUUAGAAAACCGAUGCCUAUAAUUGACGACUGCUUGCUUUUAGAUAAUAAUUGACGACUCUGCUUUUAUAUCUUUGAACGACUCCGCCGUGGGGCCCCACUGAAAUGUAAUGCUGGUACUAGCGCAUCCCCAAACAAACCCUAUAAGUAUGGAGCUUACCCUUUACUUAGAACAUAGAAGAGAUCUUCCAAUACCUAAAUUCCUUGCUUCAUUUAGAAGGUUGUUGCUAGGUUUACAUAACUCCGUCCUAAUUAGUCUUUCUCCAUCUAUAUCGAUUGGGGGCUUGAGCUUUCAUUUUCUUAUUUCAUAGUGGAGGUGCGUAAACCGAUCUAUCAGCAUCAGCAUGGGUAGGAGUCAAGACGCUUUAUUCUUUCAAUAGCAGUUUCUACGACAUGUAUAAGACUAGAUCAUGGUCAGAUCCUUCUUUCCAUUUCAUCUCGAUAAACUAUAGCGAGCGCACGGGAUUCACUGAGCGUAGCAUGGAAGCAAUAGCUUCGAGCAGGAGGUUAGUUUGAAGUGCGGUAUAACAUCGUCUCAUUGAUUGUAGUUCGCCUAAGUAGCGAGUCAGUCCAUCUUCACUAUCUUUCGAAGAAUAGAAUGCCACACUUUCGCACAUUCUAUAAAGCAUCAAGCUGGGCAUUCCUUACCCGAAUCAAAACCUUGAGAACACUUGAGAAUUACCGACCGCCUAUAGACUCUGACUAUUUUAAGGAAAGCGCCUAGGAAGGGGCCAAGCAACAUAGUGAGAAUGCUUAAUCAGACUAGAGCCAAACUCUAAACUAGAAGACUGUUGCAAGAGGCCUAAGAUCAACCCCGGAACAAAGGAUUAAUCCUAGAAUAAAGGUGCUAAAAGCCACUCGGGACUCAGCAGUCCAAGAAUAGGUAUGAGUCCUAUAAGAACCAAUCUCGAAACAAAGGUUUUAACGCUGCCGACAAGGCUAUAGCUUGAGAGUCAUAAUGAAAUACAUAAUGCAGGAUCCCGGGCGUAGAGCUACAAUACUUUACUGGAAAUACAGAAUGAACUCGGUAGCACAAGAACCAACCAACCCUACUAUAUCAGAAGGGGGCAACAGCAAGAAUCCCCGCUAACGAGGCCUUAACUCGAAACGAGGACUUCGACUCGACAUAAAGCCUUCAACUACUUACUUCUUAGACUGAAACCAGAAACUAGUAAUUACACCCUGUAACUAGGACUAAGUGUCUCUGUUAGCCUAUUCCGACUUCCACUCAAAACUAGCAAUUGAGGCCCGACAACAAGGGUCUAUGUAAUUGAGCUGCUUCUUUUUAUUCUGAAACUAAUAACAAAGGCUUUCAAUGCUGUUUCACUCACCGCGCGUACUGCUCUGCUGCUAACAAGGCGAUAGACCUAACACCGGUAAUACAACUACUAAUAACAGGACUUGAUUCCCUUCUGACUAUAUAAGAUUGUGAACCCACUAUAACAGGUUUGCACAGGUGCUUUUCAUUCUAAGGCUACCGAUCCCCUGGUUCUUACUUGGAUUCUGAACUUCAAUACUACACAAUUCAAAAGAGAACUCAACUAGGAACUCCGGCUGUAACUACUGUUUCUCGUUCUUAAACUCAAUACUACUAUUCUUUAUCUGGGGUGGGGCAUGGGCUCCUUACUUGACUAACUAGUAGCCUGUCUCCACAGGAAUCCAAUCUUAUAUCCUAGUAUCUAAGACCUAAGCUCGCUAGCUACAUUCUAUAGCCUAUGGUCCGGAUCUUUUAUUUCACCUAUGGGCCUGCCCUUACAGUCUCUUAUAGUCUAUUGACUCCGACUUUCCAUAUCUAUUCUAUUUAAUAUAUCUUUGAUUAUGAUGUGUAAUAUCAAACCUGUAUCUUGGCAUAUUGACUCUACAUCUCGAGGUGUGUAACGCAUAGGGGCUGCUACCCUUAUUUGUCAUAUCCAAAUAUAUCUAUUGAUUUGACGUUUAUAGACGUAGCACAUAGGAUUUACUGCUCAUUAUGAUUUCUCAUACUAAACAUAUAUCUUUCAUUGCGUACCCCUAUUGAUCAUUGCGUAACCCAACAAGCAAGCACAUCCCUAUUGAUUGAUUUCCUCGCUCGCCAGCACCCCUUAUUGGCUACAUGCAACACACCUACUAGUCUUAUAGUAUAACGAUAAGUAAUGAAAAUGAGGUGUAUAGGAAUGGACACCUAUCUAAGCUAGGGAGAAUGGGAACCGGAUCAGAUAGUCUAAGAAUUGACACCGGAUCAGAGGGAAUCAAACAGGAAACUCGUCAUUUAAGGUAGUAACAAGAGAAUCAAACCAACAACCAGGAAUCGAGCUCUAAACUAUGAAUUUCACUAGGGUCGAUUACAUUGAGCUACCGGGGAACUCACUCUUACCUUACUGCCUAUCAGUCUAUAUACCUGGACCAACUAAUCUGACUUGACUUGCUUUUAGGCUUCCUUUCACGCCUCUCCUCUCGUUCUUUGGCUGGCUAUUGAUCCGGAUCCUUAUCCUCUGACUUGCUUAUAUGGUAUCUUAUCCUGGUACUGCUCGCCUUAACUCUUCAACAAAUUCAUUUCCGUCUGCUUUUCCUGCUUGUCUUUCUUUAAACACGGAUUCGACCUUUGCUUUAGCUCUUCAGCUCUUAACUUGAAGUAUGCCAUUACUUUCUUUUAAGCCUUGCUUUACUUGCGAAAAAACUAGAUCUUAAUUAAGAACAUCAAAUAUGGAAUUAAAGUAAGGUAAGGAGAGGUAGGCUUGGUUUAGGUUAGGUUCUGCUCUCGUGGCGGAGGUUCUUAUUAAGUCCCAUUUGCUAGUGAAGUUAGUGGGGUAAGUCUUGUCAGCGCUGGUUGGUUUCUUUAUUGUCAGUUGGUUUCUUUUUUGUAAUAAGAUAAAGCAUUAAAGGGAACAAAUACAGAAUGCAAGUAAGGCAGGACAGACCUAGGUUCUCCUAUAACCCACUCUAGAAUAUCAUAUGAAAACACACAUGCUAAUAUCAAAUACAAAAUAGAAGAUUAAGAUAAAUAAGAUAAGUACGAUAAGUAAAAGAGAAAAUCAAUAGAAUAUAAGUAGAAUAUAAAUAUAAGAUAAUAGAUAAGUGAAAAAGCGCACACUAUCUUCAUUCUAAUAUACUAUCUUGUUUGAACAAGCCAAUUAAGAGAAUAGAGGUCGAGGCAAAAGAAAAGGGAAAUCAUUUAGUACUAGCUUUGAUGCGAGGUAUCCUCAUGAACUCAAACUGGACUCGCUACUAAUUCCAACUAAUGCACUUAGUCUUAACAUCCUUUCUUUCUUUGCGGAGGUAGAGGCGAGAGUGGAGAUCAUCUCUUUUAGAAUGAAUACCCAACUGGCACUAAUGGCAGAGACAAGCAACUGCUAACGUGAGCUACACCUAUGAUUCUGACCCACCCUAUUGACUCCGUUAGUCCAAUUCGAAGCCUCUUUUCUAAGCGAUUAUUCUUAUAGUCUAUUACUUGAUGCGCUAUCCUCUCUCUUACUAAUGCUAAUCCUAGUCUUGGUUCCCCGUGUUCAUAGGCUUCUACAGAUGAUUGCAAUUCUUUAUUCUUGUAUUGAUUCUACUAGCAUUCCUAGUUAGUAGUACGAUCCCCUAUUGUAGUUGAAGAGUAAAAACAAGCAAAGUCAGAAUUCAUAGCCGUAGGGACAGACUGUUUUGGUUAGUUAAUAAGAUUUGGUUAGUUAAUAAGAAUAGUAGUUAGGGAAGGGUAGCUUUGAGAUCAAUAGCUGAAGAAUCAAAUGAGUAAGUAAAGGACUCAAAGGCGAGGGAAGUCAAAAAAGGCAUAAAAGGAUAGGAUCAAGGCUCAAACUAAAACCAAGGUGCGGAAAGCCUAAUAGGGAGGGGGGGGUCAGUUCUCAGAAUGAAAGUCAUGGUCGUUAGUUAGCUUGUUUGCUAGUAUUUCUCUUCUAAUAGUAGCGGAUUCCCUGUCCAUUCUUCUACUUAUGAAGCUCAAUUCCUUGUUUCCCAUGUGAUUCCUCAUUCCCUGGCCACUCUAGGGCUUAUACCGACGCUAUCUUUUUAGUUGUUGUCUUCCAGGCGAGGUGUUCUCUUAUCGGCAGUGGAUUCGUACUUGAUAGUUGCAUUCCGUAUUGCGAGGCUUUCAGCACCUUCGAACUUAUAAGUGCAAUUCAUAUAUCGACAGUCCAGGUUUACUUGCAUUCCAGCUUAAACUCCUAAUAUCCAAUCUUUAGUUCGAGAGGCCCGGCCUAAACUCUUUGCUUUAAGGCAACAACACAUAGCUCCCAAACUGAUACUACUUACUGAUGUUAGCAAUACCUACUAACAAGGACUUUCUUUGAUUCUGAUUUGCCUCUAUCGAUCCUGCAUUACUUUAUCUUAGCCUCUACCCCCUUUACCCUAAUUCCAUAGUUUGGGCUCGCUCGGGCCUUACCUCUCCAUGGUCAAAGUAUAUGUUUUUCUCUUUUCUCUAAGUUGGUGUCGGUGUCAAGUAAACAUCAUUCUCAUAAGUGAAAUCAUUCUUCUUAAUAUUGGCGCACUAAGGUACUGAUAUGACUCCAACUUGAGAUAAAGCAUAAUAAGGCUACUUACCUUAACGCAGUAGUGCAUGUGCUAUGUAUAUAAUAGGUGUAUGAGGAACAGCAGCAUAGAAUAAGAAGAGUAAUAAUAAAUAGGGAGGAGUUAGGAUCUAGGCAAGGAGAGCACCAGCGAGUCGAGUAUUGGAUGAUGAAAACAUAUAUUGUAAUAACUUCUACUGUUCGCCUUGACCCUUCUUUUGCCCUUGUAGACCCCUUUAGCCCUAGUAGAGACCCCUUGAGCUUACGAACUCCUGACUUAUUACUGCUUACUCUGAGGCAGAGGCACCGAUCGUUAUCUAGACUCACUUUCUUCUUGAUUUCCCGGAAUCCUUUACCUCCACUUAAACUAGAGGACCACCACUCAUUAUCUACUCCAGUGAAGCAAGAGGACCACACCACUCAUUAUCUACUCCAGUGAACUGAGUGUCUAACAUAGUGAAACAAAGUCACCAAACAAACUAGCAACGCGCUAAGAGAGUAGAGUACUUGAGUAUAGCGUGAGGCUGCCGAUAUUCUAUAUUCAAGGAAACAAUGCUUUGUGAAGUGACUUUCUUUUAUUAGUUGCUAGGUAGAUUCAAUUCAAUUAAAGGCUGUAGGCAGAGUGCUCACUUAGUAACCCUUUCAUUCAAUAUCAAAGAAAACGAGUCACCCUUUCAUUCAAUAUCAAAGAAAAGACAACUUAUAUAAGUGCGGAACCUAUAACCGCACAAAACGACAAAGCUCACUAACGCACCCGCUCACUCAAGUAAGUAAUCAGACUAACGCGUAAACAAGCUUAGUCUAAUGGAGCAGCUCGCCGACCGGAAUAACAAAGAAUGGAAUUGAUCGUUACACAUAUACAAAGUCAGUAAAAGCACCUGAACCUAACUACUUACUCUCGGGGCUUGUUCUUGCGCAAGGGCUUGUUUUAGUUUCUUUAGCUACCUUCUCCACUAGGGCAAACAAACCUACUGAUGCUAUCUUAUCUCCACUAGGGCAAACAAACCCACUUCUGUCUUUUUAGCCUAUAAAGAAAGCAUAUUCUAUAAAUGAUAGUAACAACCCUUCUGACUCCACUCAACUACUAAUGCACUCUGCUCUGCCCGAAACUCCAAUAAGGUGCGUUAGUGCAACUACGCAUUAGCACUUAGGCUUGUGGAAUUGAGUCCAAAAGAAUCGAAAUAGAAGCUAGGCACCACGAAGUCAGCGUUAGCACUUAGGCUUGUUUGCGCCCAAGUCCUGUGUACUAGGGCAAAAGAACGAGUCAUUAGGUAAGGUGUAGAUAUUACAUCUGUGGGUAGCUCUACUCUAGAAGCAACAGGCAAGGCCUAUAUUCUAUUCUUGCACUCCUUUCUAAAAGCCCUUGUGGGUAGCUCUACUCUAGAAGCAACGCAACUGUGCCCAUCUUCUAUUCUUGCACUCUCUUUCAUUCUUGCACUCCUUUCGAAAAGCCGCCCUUGCGCUAACUUAUGCCAUUUGUUUCCUUCGGGGUGCGCCUAUGCUAUGAUAUUUGUUAUUGAAGAACAAGCUACAGUGCCAGCAUUUAUCUUGAGGUUGGCUUUCUUCUCUAUAACAGUAUAGCUACUACCACUACCCUCGCCCUCCUUCGAGGAGAACCACUCCUCAGUCUCCCAAGAUUCCUUACAAGAGUAAGUGAGUGCUAUAUUAUUAGAUACCAGGAACGAAUCCAUGUAUACUUGUAGCGGCCAUGUAGCAUAAUAAGCCACAUCACCAGAUUCUUCAAACUCAGCCCCCUCCCGCCGCUCUUCAACAAGCUUAACCCCAUGCUUCAGCCUCCGGUUUCUCAUUAGUCUGUUCGCUCAUGAUUCCUAUGCAAAAGGGUCUCCACUGCUUGAGGUAAGUAUUCAUGAGCUUCUAUUAGAUCUUCUCCUCAUUUUGGAGCUCAUCCCUUAACUUCUGCUCGCUUUUCAGCGGUACAUAAGCGAAUUCUAAGAGUGAUAACACGCCCUCAUCUGCAUCAAUGAGACCCUCCUUAUCUUCCCGUUUGCAUACGAAUUGUGCUGCAUGAGCUUGCGCAUGAAAAUGUAUGUACUCAUGCACGGCGAUUUUACUCCUUCUCUCUCUCACAGCCAUUACGACUUUUAGACUUUGUUUACUCUCCGUGGUUAGUAUGGCUUUAUCCCCUAACUCCAAUAACCUCUCAAUAUCUCCUAGUAUCAGCUCUUUGACCUUUGCUCUAGCAAUCAUUAUCUGAUCUACUUCUCUUACCCUUACGCGCACCCUUGCCGGCUCCUCAUUGUACCUAAUGCAUAUAUUCUUAGCAUUAUCCCACUUCAUACCUAUAGCAUUUUAGUGUCCUUUAGGUAGUGAUGCUAACUCACAUGUAUUGUGUUUCUUUCGAUGGAGUUGAUCUCAUCAUCCGACCUUCCACUUUUCUAUCUUUUAUGGCAUCCUUAUAUAUUGAAGCACUAUCCGCAAGGAGACAAAGAAUAUGUAAUGAAUCCGUUACUUUCAAAUCGUUCUCUUAGACUCCUUUCCAUUUAGGUCUUGGGCGAUCUUCUGUAGAUGUUUGUGUAGUAUAGGAUGUUUACGGUGAUGGGGUUUCUGAAAUGGAACACUUGCUUUUGUUCUUCCUCAUGCAUCUCUUCGAUGUUGCUCUCCCAAUUCUAUACACCUUAUUCCGCAUUUCACUCUAAAUCUAUACUUACCUUUGAGUGUUAGUUAGGAUUCUGUCAUUUGUGAGCUUUUGAUUGAGUGUCAUACGCCAUACAGGUUUUUCGCCUUUGAUCUGGAAGUGUGCAUAAGUACCCAAAGAUCUUGAAGUGUGAGACGCUGGGCUUUCUUAUGGUCCAUGCUUCUUGUGGAGUCUUGUUCUCCAAGCUUGAUAUAUUGCACCGGUUUAGGAUGCAGAUGCCACAAGCCACCGCUUCAGCCCAAUACUCUGUGGGCAUGUUUCAGGUCAAUAGCAUGCUUAUCACCAUGUACAGAAUGUUCUGAUUCCUUCUUUCCGCCACACUGUGGGGAGAAUAUAGUGCCGUUAGUUGAUGUCAAUGCCGUGCUCAUCACAAAAGUAGGAAAAUGCUUUGGAGGUGAAUUCACUACCUAGAUCGUAGCAGAUGGUUUAUCAGUAGUAGCCGCUUUCAUUCUCAACAAUAGUUGAUCACUUAUUCUUGAACAUCCGAAACCCCUUUUCUGGAAAGAAAGAACCUAUGAUAUAUGUUAUGAUAUAUAUUAUUUCUCUUCUAUAUAUGUUAUGAUAUAUAUUAUUUCUCUUCUAUAUUCUUCUAGUCAUUCAGAAAAGUGAGAAAAAGGCGAUGCUUACUAAAAAGAAAGGAUGUUGGAGCAAUAGGACCACUAAGGAAUGAAUGAGCUUCUUUGCUCUGAUGUUUGCCUUAUCAUGUAGAAAGCUUCUUAUUCGUUGUUAGGCAAGAACACACCCUGAACAUAUUGGACUAGGGAAUGUAUUAUAGGGUUGACCAUGCACCAUCUUCUUAGUAGAUAGCAUGUUUAGAUCGGAGAAGUGAGAAUGUAAAAGCCGAAAGUGACAUUGCCAUUAGGAGUCCUUCCAAUAAAAAAGUAUUUCAGCCUCUUGCCACCACAUCAUGGUUAAUGGUUAAGAUUAAUAAGAUCAGAUUUGACAUCUACACUUGAGAGCAAUUAAGCGUCAUUUCAUUUGACAUCUCCAUUUGAGAGCAAUGAAGCUAUUUGUCUGGCUUCCAAGAAAUGACUCUCCUCUUUUGAUUGUUCUUGUAUUGGACUUAGGUCUCUAUCAUUGUUUAUUCCUCUUCCUCCUUGGCCAUGUCCUCUUCUACGUUCUCUCGGCCUCUUGCACGACCGGCCAAGCUUAGUAUGUAUAGCUAUGGAGCGUGUUGCGAGCCUUCGUUUCUUUCAAAGUGAGCUUGAAGGACUUGUUCUUCCACCGCAUCUGGUUUGGUUUAAUAAAUAUGAAUGUGCUUCAACCCAUUAGCUCAUCAAUAGUGUUAUGGUCUAAAUCCUUUGAUUCUUGGAUAGAGACCACAGUGGAACUUCUCAUGUUGCGAUCAAAGUACUUUUUCGAUCACACCAAGAUCUUCUAGUUUCUCACAAUAUCCUCUUAGUUGAUUUACAAUGGUUAUAACUCUUGUCAAAUAGUCCGAAAUAGAAUAGGACUCAUAAAUAUGAUGCAAAGUCGCUAAUUCGGCUCUAAGUGAUUGAAGCUAGCUCUCACCUUAUCAAUACCUUUGUUUGAGUUUGUUACUUCCCAAGCGUCUUUGGAGGCGGCCCCUUAUAAAGGCAAGAAUCUAGCCCUUGGUAGAUGAGGAAGAGCGCCUUAUUCGUUGUCCGGUUGGUUUCUCUUUGGCCCUAGUAAAGAUGGCAUAAUCUGGAGGCUCAUCAUACUAUACCACCUCCCAUAUUCUUGAGAUCCAAACAAAGCCGGAAUAAGGAUGUUCACAUUCUUGUCAUUCUCCUUUGUUAGGUUGGAGUUGCAUUCUAUUUGCCAUUGGAACUUGGCUCUGAUACCACUUUUCUAAGAAAAGAAAAAGAGAGAGAGAUGGAGAGGAAUAGUUUUGGGAAGGGAAUUUGAUGCAAGAGGAAAAUAAUCACUUUCUUAUUCUUCUUGACAAGUCUACACACGCCGGACCUUUUCUUGACUCACUCUAUCUCCACUUAAUCAUUAGACAUAGCUUAUUUCACCUUAUAUAGUGAUAGCUUAUAAGAGAGUGACAAGACUCUAUGGCGACAUUCAAUUAUCUCAUUACUUAUAUAGUGAUAGCUUAUAAGAGAGUGACAAGACUCUAUGGCGACAUUCAAACACUUAUCUUAUGUGUCACCUAUCAAAUAGACUAUUGACUCUUGAUUUUCAUAACCCUUUUCUUACAUAGUAAUCUUUCUCAUGGUGUGUAACCUCUCAUGUCUCUGAAAAUCCUAUAGGUUACAAUGAUUUAUCCCAUGUGUUCAUGCAAGAGAGAAGGAAAAGAAAUCCCAGAAUGAAGUUGCAUUUAUUCUUAACAUGGAUAGAGAGAACUGGACUUUCAGAAGCACCCAAAGAAACAAACAAGACUUCCACUUAUGCUCUUUGAACACAAACUACCCCGGGAGCGGACGAACAGAAAUAGACUUAAUGGCGGAUUGCCUUUCGCCAACACCCAGCUUUCCAGGUAAUUCCACACUCCCCGCUUCCGAUGAACAAAAAGGGCGACCCUCCAUUGCUGGUUCCCUUGGCUGCACUCAAGCUAUAAUCACUAACUCCAGUACUACAAGUACAAUAGAAUUGCCUAAAGCUUUUUGCCUUGCUUCACUGCCCAUGAGUCUGACGCUGCUUUAUCUAAUUCCCACGGGGCUCCCCACACACCUUGCCUGGUAGGGACUUAGCUUAGAACUUCUAUCGCUGUCCGCUCCUGUUAGGGCUAGCUACAAACUGACACUACUUCUUAUAAUUCCUUAGCCCAAGGUUAGAGCCUGACUUUCCUGUCUCCAAGUCUCUUGCUCUGAAACCAGAGCAUGUCUCUACUUACUUUGAUUCUAAGACUCCGGAUUCGGAUCCUUUUAUCUUCUAACAAUAAAUAGAAUAACUGUUAACAAUAAUGGAACUAGCACCAAUGGGAACUUCACUAGUAAUAGCAAUACUCUCACUCAGAAAUAAGACUUGGUACCUUCCCCCUCCAUGCUUUGUUUGCCUAUUCAACUCCUUGGUAUCAGUCUGACUUUUAUUACCUUGAUUCUAACAACCAUUACUUGGAUUUUGAAACAGCUAAUGAAAAGACUGCAACUAUUGCCUAUUGGUCUAUUCUAGAUUACUUAUAUUCUUUAAUGAAAUACCGAUCUCUAACCUUGCUUUACGAGCUAUUGGUCUUACUAUCCCAGCAGUAAGUCUUACCUUCCGUGAUCUCACUCUUAUAUCUUGGGCACUUAAACUGUAUCGCUACCCACACUUUUGGUUGAAACCCACCUCUCUUAUCUUGUCAACUCAGUACUUGACUUCUUUCUUGCCAACCUGGGGCUAUCUAUGAAAACAAAGAAGGAAACUAGCAACUCUACCUCGCUCAGGCUUAUCAAGAAGGAGGUAGUCAAUAGGUCCAGCAACCACUAGAAAGGCAAAGAGAGAAAGAAAAGACCCGGGGAGAGAAAAGAGAGAUUCAAAGAAAAGAGAAACUAAGGCCGGAGAAAGUGCCAAUUACCAGGUAGAGAAUAUAUACCUAGAUCUGUAGUUCAAUUGUCUAGUAGUUGCUUGGCCAUCCUUAUAGUUAGUAAUGAAAGCCCUAGUGUUGAGUUGAACCAAUGCCAACAAACGGGGGGAACUAUUAUAGAACCAAACUAAAGAUAGCAGGGCUUAACUUGAAACUACAGAAUAUUGCGCAGUGCACUAUAUGAAUGCAAACCCCACUUAUGAGAAUAGAUACGGGAAUAGGGGAUCAACUCAAACUAGUAAUAAUCAAACAAAGAAUACAAGGAUACCUGGCUAAGUCAACUUAUGCUAAUACGGGCUAAGUCAGCUGCUAAUACAAAAAGAGGGGACCGCCCCAGUAGGGGAAUGAAACGAAACACAUAGGUCAGAAUGCCAGUAAGGAGAAGGAGUUGAAAGGUCAAAUAUAGAUGUGGAUGCCGGGUAUGGGUUGAUUCUCACUUUGGAGUUGGGAUUCCCCGUUUCAAGUUAAGGUAUUUGUAGUAGCGGUUCCGUUCUGAUAGUUAGUAUUUGCUUUCUUAUUAGUAGCGGUGUAAUGUCUUUGCAUUCUGAAAACGACUACGACGGCAAGGAGAGCUAGGUGCGCAGGGCGUGUCUCCUGUUUUCCAGACAGGAAGGUGAGCUUUGGAGUCAGUAGUUAAGGUCACAUAAACAGUAGCUGGAUUCCCAUUCGGAGUAGUCCCAUUCUGUAUUCUUUUAUUUAUUCGUAGAAGCUGUAGCUCUAGUCUUAUCCUAUAGUAGGACUGAUAUCGCUACUACCAAUAAUUGCACAAGUGCUUCUCAUAUUGAAACAUAUAACUAAGGCUUCACUGAUAGGAACCAACUCUUGCUCUACUGCUUCCCCGGCUCACUAUCCUGACUUUUCUUCUUUCUCCUAUAAUAAGGAAUACAACUACGUAGCUUAAGGAUUGAUACGCUUAAGGAUUGAUACGCUACCUGACAAGGCCGGUACUACUGCUAAUCAGAAUCUAUACUUGAAUAGGGAAUUCCACUGUUGACUAAAAGGCUUUGUCCCUAGCUUGCCAACCUAGUUAUCUCGAGCAGUAAAGGCAAACUGGAAUCUUUAGUGCUAUCGGGCAGUAAACGAACACAGGACCCAUCAACUGGUAGCUAGCCUAUAUGGUAUGUGUAGUCAAUCUUAUUAUCUAUAUCGUUAUUGCAUGCUUACUUGUUAGUUAAAGAACCUCGCUUUACUGACUUUGAAACUGGAUACCCAUAAUUGUUAGCCUGCCCCUUUUGACACUUCAUUAUUUAUUGAACUCUGUACUCUCCUACUGGGAUGUGAUCCGAUCUCUUGUGGCGGGUGCACAUUCUUAUACUUAUGAGUUCAAUCCUAACAUUAUAUAGCAUUAGUAAACUUAGCACGGCACCCUUAUCCAAUUCUCAAGUAAGAAUACCUGGCUAAGUUAUCCAAUUAGAAAGUCAGGGCUGCUUUAGCUGCCGAUGGGUAAUUGAGUAGAUGGUGAGUUGUGUUCUAAAGUCGGAAAGUAAGAGACUAGAUCUGUUCCCUAAAGAAUAAGAAGAGCAAUUAGGUGCCUGUACUAGAUGGAAAGGGAGGCGGAAUGCUGCUAACGAUUUUAGGAAUGCGAUACGGUCGUUAAGGCAUGAAAGCAAGGUGCUAAGAGCCUGAGAGAUAGGCCCGGUAUUAGUAUGAUUCUUUAUUACGAGCUAUAGUUUUGCCCGGUGCCAGUAUCUUAUGCCUCCGCGCUAUUCUUAUUGCUGGAAGUUAGUUACAGCCCGAGUUCCUAGCUGUUGUCUUAUAAGCUGUAGGUUAUCUCCUAGGCGAGUUCCCCUGUAGUGUUAUUCCUAUCUAUUAGUUGUUGCCCUGUUAGCUAAGUGCAAAUCGUUAUUUCGAUUCUUAUUCGUAAGGAGCCAUAUUCCUAUCGGUAGGUUAGUUCCCAUAUUCGUAUUGGUAGGGCAACUAUUACAUGACAUGCUACUUUCACUUACUAUUACUAUCAUUAGAAGAGAGUAGAUAGAUAAGUAACAACCGUAUUAAUACUCUUAAGUGAUGCUUUCGAGUAAAGGAAUCAAUCCGUAAAUCGAGAAUGGAAGAAAGGAAAGGGAGACUUAACUAAAGGAGAGGCAGGGAGGAACGAACUACUACUGGUGAGGGCUCGCUACCGCGCAACAUUAUAAGUGACUUGGCCCAUACUAAAGUCAGGAGCAUUCCAAUAUAUGUUAAUUCCAUCUUUCAAAAGGAUAACUGCUGCAUCUAGGCACAACUUACAAUAAGGGCCCGCACUGGAUGGAUUUCUGUUCUGGAUUUCAAGUCAACCAUAGUAAGUCAGAAGCCAAACCACUCGGAAUCACCCUAAAGUACUGGGUUGGUUCAUCGAUUCUUCACCCCCAGCUUCCUCACCUUUGCCAACCCUACCUUUGUUUAUCGAGUGAAGUAAAUAAGAGACCCAUGUGUGCUCUCCUCUGGCUCUACCGCUUCUGGUUGAACUCUCACUCCCCCUUGAAACAAAUCAUUCCACUUUACCUGUGUUUGGGCACCCGACCGGGAAUCAACAUCCAUUGAAUCACAGAGGUCCGGUAGGCGCAGUACAGAGAGGGUUCAGUUCAAGGUCAAAGAUGCGCUACCAAUUAAGUACUAUGCCUCAACUCCCUUUCCAUUACUAUAUGCACUAGAUCUACCCAUCCAUACAUUCUUAUCUUGCAACUACUGUAUGUGCUAGCAAUGUAGUAUUAGGGCCUUCCUUCUCUUCUAUACCCGAGAUACCCGGUAGCUUACUUUAGCCCUAGAUACCCUGUUCUUCGGGUGUUUGAGAAGGAGCUCGAUUGGCAUGACUUAACUCUAUAGUAAUUAGUUGACUUCUCUACUUCUAUUACUAUUGUUAUAAAAGAAGAAAUGGGGCACAAGAUAUCAUUUCUGUACCCAUGGCAACAGGUGAAAUGAACUGAUUGUAUGCCGCGGUUCACUUCUCUAUUGACUUUCCCCGGCUUCCUCACUAGCUCCAUCUUUCGAACAGCACCUCUGCUCUGAUUCCCUAAUUACACCCUAUGUUUCUAUUCAAUACUCCACUAUAUCUGGAAAACUCCUAUCUCGGUCACCUCGCCUUAGCACCAGGAAGUUUCCCGAGUAGGAGCACCCCCGCCCAGUAACGGCCAAGCAAUUCCUCAACAAGAAGACAGAUUGAACAAAAGUCCUAUCCAAUUUCUAUAUUUUGAUAUAUUUGCUAGGUUUACGAGGGAACCCUAAAGAAGGGCAGAAGGAUCUGAUUGAACUCGGUAUUGCACUCUGGAUAUCUCUCUCUGGCUCAUCUAACUAUGGCUAAUGAUUCUUUGACUUCUGUUUCGACUAAACCUCCCUUUUGGCAUUCUGUACUUGAAGCUUAUGCUCUUGAAACGAAAAAAGCCUUUAUGACCCGAAACUAAGGGAGCGGUCUGAAACUAAGGAAGUAAGAAUUCCACUUCGAAGUAAAUAAACAGAAUAAGCUGACCUGAACCUUAAUGCCGGGACUACUACUUAAAGGGGCUGUAAACUGGGAUUCAACUUUAACUCUACCUUCCACUUAUGCUCUUUUCACUCUGGCUACAAAUGGAUACUUAACUCGAACAGAAACAUCAUUAACAAGCACACGACCCUAUGAUCCCAACAAGACGUGGUGCGCUAUCGCUUAUUGACCUACUUGCGGUUAAGUGGAAAAUGUCAACACCAAGGUAGCUUGUAGCCUUUACCUUAGCCCAAGUUCAGUUACGAGAUAAAGAUCAUCAGCAGUGGGAGCAGGGGAAGAAUGGGUGGUUUAGUGACUUUUCUUCUCUUAGGAUGUAGCGCUAUCCAAUAUUCUUUCCUUUCGUCAGGGAGUUACUGUAGCUAACGAACGGGAGUUUAGUAAAGAAGAAGUAAUGAUUUAAUAAGAGGAUUGGAUUGAUCUGCCAGAGGAUUGGAUUGAUCCGCACAUAAGGAGUUUGGAGGAGCAAGACGUUGCGCGUUUGUAGGGUGUUAUGAGCCGACAAGGAACUACAAAUGUAUAGCGUUAUAGAAUAAGGGCACCUCUACCUCUCUCUACUGAUUAACUUGGGGCUUCGGAAGUACUAUAUUAUUACCGGAACCCUGCCCCUGCUUCCCUGAACCAAUCUUUCUUUCCAGGCUAUUCUCCACUACAACACUCGAAGGAACUUAACUCCAACAAGUUCUUUCUUUCUUUGUCGGGAGCUGCGGAUUCUGUUUAAGAUUACCUACUUGCAGCUUCUAAUUGAACAGUCAAGUCACUCUUUUAGCCGAUGAAGACAGGCGAUGGAAAACAGUACUUCCUUGUAGAGAAUUAAGCCUGAUUGCCUUAACCGAGAUUCUAGCCUGAUUCUCUGGGUUUGGAAUCUAUGAGAGAGUUGAUUGUCGUGUAGUUCUGCUCUUUGCUUUACCUUAGCACACUUGCUUGUUUUAGUGUUGUCGUAGGUGGGGGGGAGUCCUAGAAAGCUGAGCUGAGUUCUGUUAGGUAAGAAUAACGUACUUGCAUAGUUUAUUGGUUUCACGCCCGAGUUCUCUAAGUAAGAAAAUAGUAAUAGGAAGAAACUCCACUUUCAUUGCUACACACAAGCACCCACUAGAACCUACCUAUAAACAAGGAAGAUUAUCCUCCACCCUAUUCGACUAUAUACCAAUACCGAUACCCCUAUCUUUCCACUCUACUUGAUACUGGACCUAUAACCUCAGGCUUUCUAUCAGCAAUAAGAGCACUAGGUUAGGUAGGUUAGUUACCUUAGAGCACAUAGGGUAGUCAGUUAACUACUAUAUCUAUCGUGCCUAGCUCCCAUCCUCUUAUUAUUUCUUACCUUGUAGUUCAAUUCAACACUUUCUGGCGAGUUUCAUUCUAUAUUUAUUACUUAAGAGAAAGAGCAAUAGGCGCUAGGUACCACACUCUUCUUACUAGUUCCAAUCUGACUCUUUAGUUGAGGGUAGUAUCUUGACUUAAGAAAUCUAUACCUGAUGCUGUAAAUAAAGAAUGAAAGGUUUCAGAAGAGCGCCUAACUCAAAUACAGAACAGAACUCACACCUUAGAUUUAGAUACUCGGAGCAAGACUCAGUACGUAACGGUUCAGGAGUGGAGUGAAAGAUGGAAUUCCUUGUUUCGCUAACGACUGAAGCUAGAAGAUGUCCCCUGUAUAGUCUGAUUUCUACGCUAGAGGAUGUCCUGUGUAGGGCUUUGACUCACUUAUAGAUGCUAGGCGAGAUGGAUUCAAUUAACUCUUUGUUGGGUAAUAAUAAAAGGCAGUUCGCAAGUCUGCUGUAAGAUAUGGGGAAGUCUAGGUUUUGUAUACAAGUAAAGGGCCAGGUCAAGUAUAAAGUCGAGUUAUAAAAGCGGAGGUGGGGUCUUAAAGUGCAGAUGCCGUUUCCAGUCCUGUGUCUUGGAACAAUACUUGAUGAUUCUGAACCGCCUAAAGAAGAAGUUGUAAACUCAAACUCAACUUUCAUUGCUUAACACUAGCACUAAACUCUUUAAAGCCAAGUGUGAUAGGGCUGUACGAAAGAGUGGAUUCUAGAGUAUGCGAUUCUAGAGUAUGCGAGUGCCCGUGGUAUUAUCUAGUGCUUAAUCCUCCGGUGGUAUUAUCUAGUGCUUAAUCCCUCCGGGAUAAAGAGGCAAGGCCCAGCCCAGAGGUUACUACACAGAAGAAAGUCAAGGUAGCGUUGAAUCGAGUGUUGGCUUAGAAGCGGGAAGGAGAAGGCCAUAACACAUAAUUCAAGCUUGAGUGGAGUAAGUAAACUCCAUUCUUAAAGGUAGGGUUGACCGGGCAGUAAGUGAUAGGCCAGUUCCAGUUCUAGUUGUUGGCUUAGAAGCGCUAGGUGAAUGAGUUUAAUAAGUUCUCUGGAAUCCUAUAUCCUAUAUUCUAAGAUAGAAUAAGAUAGAAUGAAUGGAAUGAUGAUAUGACCAUUAUUCUGCAUUCCUUAAAGAGAAUGUAAGAAUUCAACCACUAAGUAUAAGCCUAAAAGCGAGGGCAAGGGGCAGAGACAGAGACAGGCGAGGAAGCGAGGGUUGGAUGCGAGUGCUGGUUACAAGUCAGUUUCGGAUAGCCCAGGUAGUUGCGAGUGGAUAGUUUCAUUCUGAGUUUCCAGUUUCGUGUAAGUGCUCUAGCCCUGAAGUUAAUUGGUGAGAGUCAAGAGUUUAGCCUAUUGGGGGUGCGAGUGAUCUCUACGAUAAAGGUUACAGUCAAUACCGAGUUUCCAACUUCUUAUUUAGGGGUUUGUUGUCGGGUCGGCAUCUGCAAGGGAUGCAGUUUAGUAAGAUUCAAAAGGGAGGAAUGCUAGGUGGGUUCAGUUACCAAUGCUUGAGUGGAGGUGUGAAAGGUAAGAAAGAGAAUCCGGGUUGGUAGUAUAAGUAGGGCCAAAAGAAAAAAGCAAAAGAGUUCUACUAAAAGUAACCAAUACUGGGGUUGGGCAAGGUAUAUCCUAAGUGACUUUCUAGGGUGCCGGAUCAGAGCACUUGUUUCAUUCAGUAGGCGUAGUUGGUCUGGUCCAGUUGCAUACCCAGGGGAAUCCUCAACCUCAAAAGAAGGGAAAACAGCUUGGGACACUAAAACACUCAGUGUGCGGGAAGGAAAGAAAUAAGAUAUUAGACUUUGAGGCGAGGUGUCCGGAAACAGACUGGAAUUCCAUAGGAGAAGUAGAUGAGCAAUAACUGUAUUUGUGGGCAAGCUAGUCCAGUAGUAGAGUAGAGCCAGUACUUUUCUUGUUGUUAGUGAAUCCCGGCCGUAGACAAGCCAAGUGUUAUAGGCUUCAAGUUCACUCUCACUUAUUUUGUUAGAUGGGAUGAUUUCAUCUUAUUAUAAAGAAAGAAUAAGUCUUGUUACCGCCCUGAGUGGGUAAGAGGUUCAGAUAUGAUAGUUUAGGCCAUAAAGAUAUAGGCAUCAAAUUAGCUAUUUCAUCACUUAUGAGGUUUGAUAGGAAAUCCAUCAUUGAAACUAAGAAACAGGCCAACGAAGUCAUUUCUUCCUAAAAUCUUGACCCUCUGGCUCUGGCUCUGUAAACAAAUACUUCUUGAAACAAGCAAUUCCAGAAGGGUACGCCCUGCCCUGUUUUAUAGGCUCAAAAGGAAUUAGAAGCUCUCUUAGACGUAUGACAUGAAAGAUGGUACAUAAAGCAUAAGAAGUAUCGUUAGAGUUCUCCACCCUAAUCUUGCUGGUUCCGGGCAGGGAAAGCAGUAUCAUAGCCAGGUUAAGUUCCAGUGAAGAAAGUAUGGUUAAGGCGUGUGAAGCUCUGUUCUUGUUGUUGGCUUCGGGGAAGAAUCAAUUCCUUCUGAUGCUGCCCUAUUAAUGAGGUUUCCUCGCACUGCUAAUGAAUUAGGCAUCUAUAAAGCUGCCCUCGAAAGGGUGUUUCAGUCCAAUACCAGUCCUGUUCACUUGUAUAUAAGGGAAGUAGUCCAGAGCCCUAACUUUCUUUGUUGACAGAGUUAUAUGACCAAGAUCAGAGGGAUAGAGUAAAGAGCAAAGUUGACUUACCGCAAUUUGUACUAGUAAUUAAAGGAAUGCGCUAGCUGAACACAGGGCUAAAAGGUUUGAAUCCCCAACUAGAGGUACUCCCAAUAUAAGAGAUGGUAGGUACUGGUAGUCUAGUGGUCUGGUCAAGUUUCAUCAGUAGUAGGCUUUCAGCACCUGUAUCAUCUGUAUUAUUUGACAGAGGAGAGGUCGGGUCGGGUAAGUCAAGAAAGGGGAGUGAUUGUGCUCGUAGCUUGGUCAUUAGUAGUGUGCGAUGCGAAAGAAUGCAUUUGAAAGUCUCUAAAUCUCGCUACUAAAAAGUCAACUAUCUGCUUGGUAACUCGAAAAGUAACUGCUCAUAUGUAUUAACUCCUAAUGGUAUGGUAGGUACCCAGCUUCCUCUCCUGAUGAUCUGUAUUCCUUUGCUUCAAAGCCAAGCCUUUACUUGUUUCUUGUGCCGAGUAAACUCAAAUCUUAAUUGAAAUAGAAACUCCCUUAUCGGAUACUGAUUGACUUCCCGUGCUGGGCUAUCCGAACUCAAGGCUAUUAUUGAGGGUUGUUAAGGGCAGACUUAGAUAGGUAGGGACAGACUCUCUGACUUUCUUUCUCAGAUGAAAUUAUUUAUUUAAAGAAGUGUUCUUCAGCCAAUACCGAGAUCUGUGUUUGUAGCCUGAGUAUGGUUAGUUUCAAGAUCAAGAGAGGGCAGGGAAAACACCGGAGAGGCGAGGGGGACUAUGAAAGCUAUCAGGCAAGCUACGUAUACAAAGCCAAAGAGGUAACCGGAUCGUAUUAUAGGAGAAAUGCCCCUAUAGUUCCUUUUUGUCUAGAAAGAGAUCCCUGAGAUUAGAAUAGUGGAAUCCGUAUUAGUUUACAGAGCAAGAGAGGAGCCAGUAGUUGGCAAGUAAGAAAGAGAUGAGCUAGUGCUAGUGGUAUUGAUGCUAGUGCUGCAGGUGCCUAACAAGCCUGCUGUGAGGUGAGAGUGAUGUGAGGAAAGGUUCACUCAGUUAGGAGUUCAAUAGGAGUUUCUAGUUAUGAGUUUCGAGUUUAGAGUUAGUUUCAUUGAAUCCUAAUACUAUAGAGUUUAGAGUUACGAGUGGAAUUCUUCUUAGGAGUUGUAUCCAGAAUAGGAGAUAGAGAAUCGGCUGGAGACAGAGAAUCAGAUAUAGAAGAUCAAGAUCCGUUUAUGAAUAAAGUACUGGUGCGCGGGCAGCUUUCCUUUGCUCGAGUGUGAAUUCUAUUCAAAAGAUGGAGUAGGGGAUAAAGUGCAAUUCAUUGGCCAAUAUGGGAGUCGCUUCUUAGGCACAUGAGGAAGCGGCCUAACAUCUUUGAAAUAGAAAUCCCAAUCAAAGACAAGUUCCACCUAUGGUCGUAGAUCAGCAGCUCAAUCCGCCGUUUCUUUCCCCUUUCUAUAAUAACUAUAGCUUCUUUCCCCUUUCUAUAAUAAGAGUAUAUAGAGUCAUAGUGAAAACCGAUACUGUCUAUAGAGUCAUAGUGAAAACCGAUACUUUGGGCUUUGGCCUAGCUUACUAAGCGCUAGUUCUAUCCCGGCCCGCUAGUUCCAUUUAGAUCUAAUAUGGAGCUUUGAGGUUCAGCACCUAGUUAAUCAAAAGCGAGUCUUCGUCACAACACAAAUGGAAUUGCAAAACUGAGGAGAGAUCUAGAAUAGAAAACAAACCAAGGCGCCCGUGCUUGCUCUAUGGUUAUUGUUUUAGCCUGGUAAUCACUGGUUCGGUGCGCCGAAAUCCCUACUAUUCUCAAUCUACCCUUAGGAGGGCAGGAAAGAGCUCGUGCGGAUAAGUUACGGCCGUCGCAGCCUUCGAUAAACGAAUUCCCAUCACUAAUACACAAGAAGAAUAAAGAAACCCAGAAGCGGAAACACUCUUGUUUACUCCGCAGCCGAGGGAGCUUCCUAAAGAGCACACCUGAGAUACGGAGGGAUGGUAUUAUUAUUAUGCAGCUAGAGCCAAGGCAGAAAGGCUUUAGUGGAGUCUCUUUCAGUUCGCGAGGAAAGGAUACUAUUGUUCCAGAUUCAAGUCUUGUUCCCCAGUCAUCAAGUACUAGAUCGGAAUAAACAGAAUCAUUUGCCUAGCCAGGCAUAGGGGCGGGGUUAACUCAUUGAAGUAACAAAAAGGACUACCUCUCCUCUGGCUCUUGAAACUAACCCACUCCAGUUCGUUUUCUACCGGAAUUCUUCUCCAAGCCAAAGGCAAAACAGGUAGUCAAUUCCAUUCCUCAGUAGUGAAGUUACUUGGCCGACUUUUCUGGAUUAUUUGCAUUUUGAGAAAAUUGAUUCAUCGUGUUUGAUAGCAAUUCCAGACUUCAAGUAGGGAGGUCGGGUCAUCUAACUCAAUUUCUUUGAUAUGCGAAUGAGGCUCUCUUCUCUUCUGGCCUCCAUCUCUUCUCUUCUUGCCUUUCAACUGAGCUUGUAGUUACUUGUCUAGUAGUUACUAGUCGGUGUUCAAGCAGGGGUCGGGGCAUCAUAAAGUACUUUUCUUCAGCUCACUUACGCAGAACUCCCUAACGCCCGAACAAAGGACUUUGUGUUGGUGUUAACUGGAGUUGCUUGUCUCUCCUGUUCGAUAGUUUUCUACCUGAAUUCUUUUCCUCUUUGUUAUACCAGCAUUCUGCUCCUCUGUUUUCUAGCUUUCCGUAGAUAUAUCUGUAUUGAGGUAAUGCCAGAGAACCCGACAGAAGACACACAAGCGUGGCGGAACCUUACUGAGCAGGAUGUUAAAGCUGAAGGCGCUGACUUAGAAGAGCUGAAUGCCGUGGUAUAUUAUGCAGCAUGGCCGGUACAAGCCUAUAUACAAGGGUUCAAUGUAUCCAACAAUAUUGCAUUAACAUACACGCAGAAGGAGACCUCCCAGCUGGAAGAGUGGAUCUCAUCUCAUCAGGGUGAGGGUGAUGAUAGUAUCUAAACUAUUGUAGAGAGGAAGGUCCCCCUUAAGAUUCAUGGAGGAACUGUCGCUGCUGCCGUUCAAACCAUAAGUCAAACCAGAAAAGGAUUGGUCUUACAGGAGAGGUGGGAAAAAGAGGAAGAUUGAGAAGCUACCUAAGUUUCCCUAUUUAUAGGUGAGUUCGUUACGCAUUGAAUAAAGACUGUAGGUAUGACAGAGCAACCGAAGCUUCUGUAGACCUAGCUCCCGAGGAAGCAGUAAGGAGUGAGUUCAAAAGGAGACUUAUUUGCGUCUAGGAAAGUUUCUAGGGUUGGUUUUAAGGAGCACAUGCUUAGAUCCUCCAUAUCCAUUGUAUUGUACCUAUGCGGAUAACAAGUAUAAUAUAGUCAACUAGUAUAUGAAGGGGUUUCCUUUCUAGGCUCAGUAGUAGUGAGAUUCUGAUAGUAGUCGUGGUGGCUAGCUUCUUUGCAUUUCGCUUAGGUCCUAUACUUAUGAGUUCAUUUCUUUUACUUACUAGCUGGGUUCUGUUACUUGUUAGUGAAAUCCAUUAGACCCUAGGCUUUCAGCACCUUGCUUGUUUGACUUUCAUCGUAUUAAGAUAAGAAGAUAAGCUCUUUUCAAAUGCCCACGUAGCGCUCAAGGGAAUCCAAAAGUCAAGGCAUAUCACCAUCAGUACGCUGUCGAAAAAAGAGAAAUCAGUAGGAUAUAUAGGAGCCUACCAGAAUUAGGAGAUUAUUGGUAGCCUAAGCUGCAGUGUCUAGCUUUCUCUUCCUAUGGUCAAGUUCGCUUUUGCUUCCUCUCUCUCCGCUUUGCCAGCAUCUUUCCAAUCCUUCCUUACUGGUAUAACUCUUAGACUUUCCAAUCCUUCCUUACUGGUAUAACUCUUAGACUCUACGCUGAUCCUCCCUAUAGAAGUUAUCAGACUGAGCCUCCCUAUAGAAGUCUUAGGACGAGAACAAGCAAGCAAUUAUUAGUAUCUAGUAUCUUAGGACGAGAACAAGCAAAGAGUAAUCAACGUCUUAGAUACAGCGCAAACAAGCUUAGGGUAGGUGGGCAGCUGAACAAGCAAGUGGUGGAGAACAAGCAAGUGGAGCUUUCUGUAAACUGGAGUUAGAGCCGUAGGAUAAGUUCCAUUGGAGAUUUGUAUCGAGCAUUACCCCCUGUAGAAAGAAUGGAAUCAAUAAGAGCAAGGACGAAACAGUGCCCUGUACAAAAGGACUUAAACUGAGAAGUCAGAAUAAGCUAAGCUACUGACCCUAACGAAUAGAACAGAACAGGUGCUUAUACUACGGUAUAGAACAGAACAGGGUGCUUCUACCACGUUAACUCGAUAUAGGGAAGCCAACUAUACUACCUAUAAGCAUGAAUCUGGGAACUCCUUCUUUAACACUGGGACAUAAACCCGGCUUUCCUGUCUUUUCUUCUUGUGAUCCCGCCCUUGAUUACUAUGUUAGAGUUCGGUCUUCUACUGUUUAUCCUCAUUCCUUAUUCCUAUUGGUGUACCUGCUCAUUGGUGUAUGAGUUUACUGCAUAAGGUAUCUCAUAAGGUAUAUUCUCAGAAUAUCAUAAGGUAUAUUCUCAUCAAAAUAAUCGUAGUAUAAGGAAGGAGCAAGGGUUAGCAAGUAAGACUAUAAGAAGGUAGUUCCAGACUGACUUUUAUAUGAUGGCUCAAUACAAGAAGAAAGCGUUGCUUGGGAGUAAGCAAGGGUUCAAGACGGUCGAGUCAUACUUGGAGUGAACCUUAGAGACACGAGUGGAAGAGUAGUAGUUAUAGGAGUUGGGGUUGGAGAAUGAGAAUAGAAGCGAGGGUGCCCCAGGUUCAUUCUGAUGCUUGGGACUAGUUUUGUGACUACUGGAGUGGCCCCUUCUUUUGCUACUUAGUUUGACUCUUUUUCUUAUGGCUCUUUUCCUUUUAGCAACCAAAGGAUCCACUUUGAAUCCCAGGGAGCAGUUUAAGACUUGAGUCAAAUAUUACAUAAUACAAAUAAGGGUAGUAAGCCCCCGAGAAGCACUAGUCGCAGCCUGAGGUACAGGGAUAGUUAGGCUGUUAGCGCUGGACAGGGGGACAGAUUUGAGAUCAGUAUUAGUGGACUGAAUUUCCGUAUGAGAUCAGUAGUCUGUUGACUUAAUGGUAGUAGCGACAUACUUAUAUAGAGGAGAUAUGUAUUGGGAUGAAGCAGUCCUGUCCUAGAAUCAAAGACAGGAAAGUAAGGGCAGCUUUAGCUGGCUGCUGGCUGGUAGUUCCACUCUUUCCGGUAGUAUUUCCAUUAUUAUUAUAUUCCUCCCCUCUGGGGUGUCAGUUUCCAAGCAAGUAGCGGUAGACUUUGUUUAUAAAGCGUUUCCCAGUCUCAUACGCCGGGUUUCUAUUCUCCUAGGGGCAAGAUCAAUUCUAUAUUCUUCUAUUUAUUCCAAUGGGCAUUCCUAUAGUUGUGAGUUCACAGUCACCAAGCUACUACAGUUUAAGAGCCAACUACUCGUUUACUAGUUGGGGCCAAAAGCAGGUUAACUCUUUACUACUCUACUACUAGUUCUAUUACUAUAUGCGGGCAAAGUCACUACUAGCUUAACUUAAAUGUGAACAAACCCUCCAGAGCGAGUCCUUCCUUCUCCUUCAUCGGCUAAUGCGAGUUCUUUAGCUAACGGAGCUUAACGUUACUUGCUUAACUCUACAGAAGCGCCCGAGCGGAGCAGCUAUUCCUUUCUGCUUGCAGGCUUUGGCGUUCACUAAUGAAGAAACACCUCUGGAACUAAUUAAUAAACUCUCUCUCUUUAGACUCUCUCUCUUGCCUUGCCUUUGAUUAUUGCCUUCUUUCUUUCUUCCUUCUCUUCUUCAUCGGUAAGUAAAUCAGUGUCAUCCAUCGUAUCUAGAAUCUGGAAUGCUUAGCGACGCCCACUAUGCGGUAUACAACUUAUUAGGCAAACAAAGAGUGUGAUAAAGAAGAAAGGGCAAAAGCUACGGACUCAAUGGAGCUCCUGCCAGAACAACUUCCGCUGUUGAACAAACACAGCACAGCAUUGCUUCAUAAUAUCUAAUAUGGGCAGGGCAGCCUCCCCCUAGCUUAAAGUAUAGAAUUCUGUCCCUUGUGCUUUCAAAAGUCCUAUAUUAUUGCACCCUUGCUGUCAAGUUACAGAAUUGGAGCCCUAGCUUUCAAGUAGCUUUUCAAGUACAUAAUUAUUGUCCUAGCUAGCUUAUUGUGAAGAGAGUUUACAGUUCCAUUGCUUUCAGGUAAAGGUUCGGCAUUGCUUGUUGAGAAAGCUUUUUUCAUCGAGUUUUGUUUGAGUAUGGUAUGGGUGUUUUAGAAGGCAAAGGCAGUAAGUAAAGGAGAGUUCGAGUUCAAGUUGCAAGAGCAGAGCAGGAUAUGAGGCUUGAUCAGGAGAAUCCGUUGGAGAGUUAGGAUCUUGAGUAGGAACAGAAGCGGAAUGCCCAGAUGAAGCGCGGUGCGGGUUCUUCACAGAAAGUCUUGUUCGGGUGUUUAAGAAUCAUCGGGCUUUGAAACAGAAGCUGUAGACUCAGGAGCAGUUACUAGAGGAAAUGAUGUUUCAGUUCUAAAGUAAAGGUUCGGGUAAGUAAAGUACUCAUACCUCUAUUACGGGUAUAAAGUCAAAGUGCUAAAGUCAGGAUCAACAGAAUAAUAAGUGUUCGGGUAUUCUUCUAUAGCGCAUCUUUCGAAUUCAUAUUAGUCUAAUUAAGAAUUCAAUAAGGUAUUCCAAUGGCGCAUGGUUUGUUACCCAUAUCUAUCAUACCUGGAAAAUGAUUCUUCUGGCCGACUACUACUCUGGAAAGGCCCUUACCCGGGCGAGCAACUACGAAAGAAACAAAGAGAAUAAUAAUUAGUUGCAUCUUAAAUCCUAUCUCUCCAGCCUUUGACUGUUCCCCUCCGCCCUUGCUUUUCAUACACCUUACUACCUCCGUCCUUGCUUUGGUUCUGACUUUUCUUAUUCUUAUUCUAGUACUACUCACUUUGAUUCUUGAACUAUGGAUUCGGAUCCUAUGCUCGACUAUGGAGUAUGUGACCCCUGCCUCAAAGUCUUCCUUUUGAUCGCCGCCAAUAACUAGCUCACUCUUAAACUAAUGCUAACAGGGCUAUGGCUCACAACUAGGGAAUUGAGUUACUCCCGACAAUACUUUCCUGUAGUACACUUAAGCAUACCUGUACUGAUGAGAAGCCAACUACUACUAAUAAGGAUCAAUAUGGGAACUCAGACUUACUCGUUAGCCCACCGCUCCUAUCUGGAAUUCUGAAGUUACUAGCUGGUUCUUUCAACCCCAACAAAACAAUACUAAAGACUAUUGCACGUUACAAAGAAGAGUUUGUAUUCAACUGCUUUCUUGUAUUCCCGAUUCCGAUCUGGUGUAUUGAGUUUAAGCCCUCCAUGCCCUAUUUAGAAUCUCUUAUGCGCCUUAACAUUCCUAAAUUCCAGUGAAAGCCUUAUUCCUAAAUUCCAGUGAAAGCCUUAUUAUUGCCAUUAUUGCGGAUUAUCGGUAUUCUUAUUAGUAUGCUUUGUCCGGUAUCCUUGCCAAAGAGUUCAUCGACGCCCCUACUGGUUGAUUCAUAUUCUAGCUAACUAGGAAUUGAGCACUGCCCACCUACCCUAGAUUGAGCCACUGUUCUUAUAGACUCGAACUCAGAACUAGGUGCUGAAAGCCUACUGACAACAAGGAGCGAACGUGCCCUAGUAGACUAAACAAAAAACGGGAAUCCAAUCCUGCUAACAAGCCUGCUGCUACUGAACUUCAAGCUGCUCUUCCUUACAUCUAAAUCUGACUUUUGACUUGAUUUCAAUCUCAAACUAGUGCUUCUCAUAAUAAGAGGAGCUACCGGCGACACGGCUUUCACUUCUCUGCUAUAAAUGGCACUUCCCCUAAAGCCUAUUAGGCUGCUCUUCCUUACUUAUAUUCUUCAACUGA
This 61843-nucleotide long non-coding RNA is filed under the name Musa acuminata (dwarf banana). RNAcentral's name for it is "long non-coding RNA (MACU_LNC008493)". The record is from RNAcentral. Lineage: Eukaryota; Viridiplantae; Streptophyta; Magnoliopsida; Zingiberales; Musaceae.